AGAGAUGCAUCCCCAAAAUGAAAGAAAAUGAGAGAAAACGAAACAAAGGAACCCCCAAAACCUAACCCAACAGUUCACAUCUAUGCUAACAGCAAAUAAUGGAAUAAAAAAUGGAACUUAGCUUUCGAAAUCCAGCCAUUGAUCCGACAUGCAAAAGGGAACGAACGAUCCAGAGUGAUUCAUGAACUGAGGGGACCUUACUCGGCUCUGUUCACCAUCCAACCCCUCCCUCUCUCUUUCUCUCACUGUCUCCAUUCCACUCACCCAUGCCAGGAUCCCUCUCCCUCUCUCUCUCGCUCUGUUUCUCUCUCUCCCUCUCUAACGGAGGCAUGGCCUCCCAUCCCCGAAACCCUCCCUGAAUGACAGCAAAGUAAACCCACCCAAUCCGUCUCAAACAAAUAGGACAAAAGUGCCCUUCCAACCAGCCCCAAUAUCAGACCAAACCUGACGGGCUUGUUGUAAAUAGCGUGAAAUCGAGUGGCUCCCUGAUAAGCCACAUGGACAAAAUUACCCUCUGAAAUUUUGAGAAUUACCCUCCCAACCCACUCCCCAUCAGGCUGGUAUUGUUGUAAAUAAAGCAAAAUCAAAACAAACGUGAAUAGUGCCUGCCCUCCCCCCUACUUUAGUAUAGAUAAUAAUAAUAACAGAAAAAUUGGCAACUAUGGAUACAGAGCUAUUAAAAACUGGGGAUUCUUUGAUCUUUUCUUUCAUAAAAAAUACUCUGCGCUACAGUGCGACAAUGUUGCUCCAAAACAUUUUCAAAACACAAUAUAAAAAACAAAAGUUGCUCACCCAGCUAAUAUUCUUCUUCAUGGGUUGUUCACACAACUAUAUAUUUCAGUUAUACAUAAAAAAUAAACACACAUGGUUAAAUAGAGAUAAGUAAUUACAAUUGAACCAACCUUUGCUAAUGCUGACCCGUCAGCUGAUCCAACUGCCCCUACAUUAAAGCAGGAAAAAGUUCAAUUUACAUGGCUAAAUAAACUUGAGGGUUGCAUAAAUCAAGUUAUUACUAAAUAAGGAAUAGAGAAUCCAUGAUAUUGACUCUAAUGUAGGCUUUAACUAACCAAGGGCUGAAGAAGUCUCUCUAGCUUCGAGUAGUGACCUGCCAUCAGGGAGUGCAAAAUCACAAACUGUGAUCACAACAGGUGCACUGAGAUCACCUUCAAAAGUUCGCAAUGGAAUAAUGUAAAUAAUAAAUAAACUAAUUCAAUAUAUUCUUAAAAAAAGACCCUAAAACAUCCCUAAUUGAACCCACAAAAUACAAUUAAUCUAGUAGUUUAAUCCAAGAAAAAAAUUUCUUCAAAUCAAAACGGGAGCCAAGCUUUCUGGUAUUAAAUUUCUUUCAAUCAGAAUGGAAUUCAGCUUGGAUUUUCUCAAGAAUUCCAAGAAAGAUAUAUACAUUUGGUGAUAAUCGUACAUAAGAUUCAUACAAUAUUUUCAUAUCUUGCAUAAAAAAUAGAAAAUAGAAAUUAAAAAAAAUAGAAAAAAGAAAAGGUACCUCCUGCCGCUGCUCUUGAAAAGCCAAAAAACAUUAGAUCCUAAAUACUAAUUAUAUGCAGAUUAUUUGCUUGUAGCUAAAAAACAGAACCAACAAAAACACGCAAAUAAAAAAAAUCAUGAAAUUUGUUUCUACACAAAACCCCAUUUCAAAAUCAACACAAAAAAUUCCGAUUGAAAAGCAAAGUAAAUAACAGUAGAGAGAGAAAGAGACAUAGAGAGAGAGGUGAAAAUUACUCGCUGGUGACGAAGCUAAUGAAUUCGGAGACGCAUUCCUGGACGGUGUUCGACUGAUCGCCGCGAGUAGAGAGAUGAGAUCAGAAAGAGAAAAAUUAGGGUUUGAGAGAUAAAGAAACUGAGGCAGAGAGACGGAAAGAAAGAAGCAGAAAAGUGGAUGGCAACUGAAACCUUCCAGCGACUUCGUUCUUUGAAAAUGACUUAAAAUUACCCUUGGAUAAUUUUAUGCAUUCUUUUUAGCCUCUUUGAAUUUUUUUUGGCCGAGGGCAUUUGCGUCCAAUUAUUUUUGUCGAAGCCGGUGACACCAAAGUUUUGUCUGCGUGCUGUGACCCAAAAAAUCACUGUUUACCACUGUUUACCAUUGCCUCCGGCUUUCUAUAUAAGAUGUUAUAUAAUGCGCAGAUUUUACAAUCUAAUUCCUCGAAACAUCACAACUAACCUAUAAUUUGGAAAACCAGGCACUGAGCAAACCCAGUUUAUUUUUAUUUCAAAUUUUCAAUAACUACAAACAAGAAACAAAAUAAAAAAGAAAGAAAACUAUCGCACAAAUGUGUAGUGACCUUAAUCUGUUGUAUUCCACGUUCAAUCCCAAUUUUACACUCUACUAAGUGAGACAAAAAAAACUCAGUUUUAUACUUACAGUGUCAUGCUGGAACUGUCCUGUAAUGUCCAUCUGUACCCAUAAGGCCUUUGAAAGUAAAAAUGCAACAAAUAGAACCAUGAGGUAGAGAGGGUUCCUGUUUCAUUUGAAGAAAAAAGGCACAGUGAUUAACAGAUGUGCAAGACAUUAGCGUCUGGACACUUAAAAAUGUCCAAAACCUAAAACUUGCAAAAGGAAACAAAAAAGAAGGAAAGUAAUUACUUUAAAAGCAUCAUAAAUUCGUUAAAACCAAGAACGAUCAUCGCCAUUAUAGCCCAUGGAGGAGGUAACCAGUUGUUACUCCGCUUGUGAGCCUCCUGAAAGUACAAAAGCAAACAACAUCAUGAUCGAGCAGAGCUAUAAGCAUAAAGAUAGGGAGCUCGUUACAAAAUAGUAAUAGGAUGCUAGGAUUUUUCUUUGUAGAAAAAACAAGAAUACACUGAACUUGAUUAUAAGUCGGUCCUAUCUGACUAAACCAUACCCAAGUCAAGAAUCAGCGCGAUUUUCAAUAUGAAAUUUUUCCAUAUGUUUGGUUUCACUACUAAACUAAAUCCAAUUUACAUAAGAACUCCCGCCCAAAAUGUCAUCCGAGGACAAUGCAUGCGUCCUAUUUCCACGUUCCUCCCACCAGUUGUUCAUUACUUUUGCAGGAACAUGUUCCAAUAUUCAUAUUUUCAUAACCAUAUCUUUAAAGAACAUUUUAUAAAAGACAAAAUCCAUUUAUUCGAGAUGCAACUCUGAUUAAACGAUAUAAAAACAAUUACACUACUGAAGUUAAACUUAAGUAUACCUGUGCCGAAAUAGCUUGAGUGACUCUAUAUUCGGUCUCUGCUUUGAACUGCCUUGACAAUGACUUGCACUGUACUGGGGUAAUUAAGGUAUCCUUUGAAGAAACCUAGUUUAGAGUUAACCUUAAUAAGAAGGGAGUUUCAUCAUAGAAAAAUUUUACAUAAAAACCAAACCCAUAAAUAAAUGGUACCUCUUCCCAAGAGCUUGAGGCAAGAGGAUCUGUAGGAGGUCCUAGUUUCCUAUUUUGUGAAGAUGAAACAGUAACAGUCCUGUCCACCAGAGAAGAAACUAGGACAUUUUCAAUAUUAUCUGGCUUCUCAUCCAAGCGAAUAGCAGCCAUGGUCAACAAAAGCUUCAGAGACUGCAAGAAAGAGAUGAUCAAACAACUAAAACAUCACUUUAAGUCAGAAAGAUAGAUAACAUGUACUUCCACAAAAGUUCCCAAUGAUUACCGCAGUUCGUGCAUCCUUGGUAAUACUUCUAAUGUCUUCAUUCCCAGUCCAAACCCUAGGCAUUGAAUCGCUGUAAUAAUUGAAGACUACGUCAAACCUGAGAAAUGACAACAGAAGUGAUCAGCAACCAAAAUAACAAGGUAAAAAAGAAAAGAAGAUUUUUAAAAAGUUCCUACCGAUCCUUCAUGUGUGGAUCAUAAUUUUCCCAGCCUCUUCUCUUGCUUUUUUCUCCACCAAUUUCUUGCAUAAUCCUUCAAAUGCUGCUUCAUUUUGACAACCGUUUCAUUGUCCAACUCAAAAAUGCAGUUGAGAACUCCGAUACUGCAACUUUGGUCUCACGAUUAAGUAGUUUUCGUAUCGAAGCCCAGGUGUCUUUUGCACCAGUUUCCAGUAGAGCCUCUACAGGACCGCUUAAAGACGAAGAAAGUUUUUUCUGAAAAAUAAUGGGUAUUUGCAUUAAGAAAUUUGAAUAACCAAGACUUUGAUACAUUAUCAGAGCACUACCUCAUAUGUGGAGAUAAAUGACCACAUACCUCAUCCUGGACCAACUGUUUGAAUUUCUGGUUGGCAAUCUCUUCACACCGAACCGUAGCAACCAUAACCUAAUUAAAUUACAGUAUGUGUAUAUAUUAUAUGCAUAUGAGAAGGCAAGACCACAAAUUAUCAAUGGGAAGAAAAUAAACUAACAAACCUUGUGAGCGGGAAGAUCCAAGUCCUUGUUCUCUUUGAUUACUUUCCAAAUCUGUUGUGCACUAAAGGAAAAUCCUGACGCAGGGACAACAGCCCUUCUAUCGCCAGCAAGCCCUCCUGGAGAAAUAGAAUGGAAAAAGCCAUCUCUAUUUCUUUCUCUUUUGUGAUGCGUCCAACUCAGCCUCGCCAAGCAACUCGGCCGCGGCGUUGCUGCAGGCCAUGGCGAACAGUUCCACUCGAAAAUCCGUCCAAUUUGAGCGAGAGUCAAAGAACUCGGGGAGGAAUCGGACCUCGUAGUUUUGGAUGUGGCUCGCCAGAUGAGCCAUGGUUUCCAGCGAAAACGGGCACCAAAAAUUUUGGUCUCGGAUCUUCGACCUGGAUCCCCAUCGACAAAAUCGAACAGCACAGAUUGAAGGUAAUGUAUAUGUGUGUCUGAGGGUUUGAAAUUGGGGGAAGGGCGGCUGAGCCAUGUGAAAUUCGGUGAGAUGACAUAGAGUCGGGAGUGAUGAUGAGUUUUGGGCUGGUUUGGGGAUGGAGUCGGCGAUAGAAAGAUUUGGCGGCACAGAGUGAUGGGUUUGCGGUUGUUUUGGGGAGAUGUUGCUUUAUUUAGUUAUAGGGAUUUUUAUUGUUGGUGCGUGGUGAAGGAAGGAGGGAGGAACGCUGCAGGAGAGUCUUGUGCAGGAGGGCCACUAUUUUUUAAGAAAAAAAUCAUAUUUUAAAUUUUCUUGCUUAGAAAUCCAAAACUGUGGUAAUAUUAUAAGCCAUGCAAUGUGUGGAUGGCCAAUCCCACUCAUCCCAUUCUACAGUCCUUCCACUACAAUCAUGGUACUAUUUACUUUAAUGAAAUCAUUUUUCAUUAGUUUUUAAGUCAUUUUCAAUCAACAAGGGAUAAAAAGGAAAAAACGUUGUUAACACACUGGAUCAAUCAACCAAUUGUUUUGAAAAAACCUUUCAUGACCAUAAUAGAAAUUCUAUAAGUAAGGGAAUUUUAUAAGUAAGGGUCAAACAUUUUUUCAAAGAAACACAUAAAACAUUCUUUUGACUGACAUUUACAAGUCAUUUUCCGAUUGGUUACAAUGGUUCUGUUCAUCUCUCCAAUUAGUUUUUUUGUUCUCUUUAACCUUUUGUCUAAUUUUAUUUUUCAUUUUUUAGGUGACUUUCUGCAAAAGUUAGUAUAAGCUUUUCGCAUGACAUGGAUGAUGAGUAUGAGAAACUCAUGCGGAGAAUGAACCUACCAAGCUAUAUGCAUAAAUCAUACCUUAAAUUCCUCAAAAUCACUUCAAUUAUUUACCAUCUCCCUUAUUCAAACUUACACCUCUUCAUCCAAUAAUGUUUCUCUUAGGAUUGUAAUUAAUAACAGAGCAAACAAACAUGGAAUACUUCUGGAAGUUGUAGAAGUACUUACUGAUCUCAACCUUAUUGUUACGAAAGCAUACACAUCUUCGGAUAGUGGCUGGUUCAUGGAUGGUAAAAAUCCUUUUAUUACGGACUUUUUUAUCGCUGUAAAAACUGUCCUUUUUUGUUCGAGCUAGAAACUGAUUAUGUGAUUAGGUUUUCAAAUCGGUUUUAACUGCCGCUGAUCAAGAUGGAAACAAGGUUACAGAUGAGAUUUUGAAUUAUAUUCUAAACCUAAUCCAAAACUAACUGUGUUUGCCAUCUGUUUUUCCUGCUUUUGCAGCGAAUGAUUUAAAAAUACUUUAUUCAAAAGGUUACAUUUGUUUGGUCUACUGUGGUUACAUUUUUCAUUCGAUUAAGCUUUGUCAUUGUGUAUAUAUUGGUUGUUCUGUUUCUUAAGAUUGUGAUUAAAAGACCUUUUUCAGAUUAUGUGAAAACUCAUUUUGUGAAGGAAUUUGAUACUUAAAUGUUUCUUCAGGUAUGAAUGGCUCCCAAAACAAAGAAAACACUGCAACUUCAUUAACUGCCGGAAUCAAUCUCAACAUAAAGGAAAGUUUCUGUAAGCAUGCUCUAUUCCUAGGGAGAUUUCAGUUUAAUAGAAUUUUUUGUUUAUGUGGGUUUUGAAUUUUAUCAUAAGAUUUUUUCUUAAUUGGUAUUCAAAAGCGAAUAAAAUAUGUGUUCCCUGGGUCUGACUUUUUAGUUGUUUUGUUAUGAAAUUGUUAAUUGAUUGCAUAUUGUUAAUUUGAUACAUUUUCUUUUUUUUAUGUUAGCUCCAAUUUCGUGCUCUAAGAAAGUUAUGGAUUCAUUUUUUGUAGCAAAUAUUAAAGUAUCAAUAUCCAAAAGAGUUAAAUUAGUUUCAAUUCUUAAAUUAUCAGUAUACAGAAGAAAGAUCUAUUAGUUUCAAUUUAAAUACUUUUGGAAAGUUAGAAAUAGCUCUAUUAGUUUCAAUUUGUACACUUUUUGAAAUUUAGAGAUCUACUGAGCAUCUUGAAAAUUUGAAGUAGUACUUUUGCAUACUCCAAACUUGAAAAUUUGAAGUAGUACUUUUGCAUACUCCAAACUGUGACCUAUAGCUCCUUUAAUAGUUUUCAUCCAUUUGAAUUGAUACAAAAUAACAUACUGAAUCCAUCAUCAAUCCCACUACUAUGUUUAUGUCAAUAUUCUUCCACUUUCGAAUUUAACUUUGCUAACCCUGGUAAGCUUCCCCUUCAAAAAAAAAUUAAAUUCUCUUCAGUAAAUACGAUUUAUCAAAUGCUUAAUUUGGGUUUGGAGUUGCUUUUUUCUCAUGGUAAAAAUUGGUGUGUCCCAUCCAGAACAAUUAGUGGCCAUUUUGAGGUUUGUUCCAGUAACGGGUUUAAGGUUUUUUACAAUGUCAUAUCGUGUUAGGAUUUUUUAAAGUUGGUUUAUUUUGAAAUUAACGAUUUUAUGCAUCAUUCAGUUGGUAAAAGACAUUUUCAUUCUAUUUGUAAGAUUUAGCCAAAAGUAUUUUUUAACAACUAUGAUAUAGUUUGAUUUCCAUUCAUAAUUACUUAUUUUGUUAAAUUUAACCUCGAAUCUGUUAGUAAAUCUUUAUACUUUAUGUGCAAAUACAUAUAUAAUAUUGUAUGUAUAAUUUUUAUAAUGUUGUUAAACAAUUUUACUUUCAUCUUUUUGUCCGUAGAGGGUGAAAACCGCGCGGUUCACAGAUGCAAAACAGGGGACAUCUUCUACUUCAUAUGGGAAGUAGAGAUUAGUUCGACUGUGAUUGUUUUUCUGAUUUGGUUAAAAUUGAAAUUAGUUGGCUUGUGUCUAAUUUAGUUAUUUGCAUUGUUUGCACAUGUAGUCGUUUUCUAACUUAGUGCAUCAAAAUAUGUCAUACAAUUUCCAAUGCCACAGUAAUGCGUGAAUCACAUUUCCCACAGCAACGCUCGAGCUACACUUUCUAGCUAUCUAUUCUAAAAUUGAGGAAUGAUUUACUGUUCAUUCAGCUACAGUUAAAUUUUUCCUUCUCAAUUUCACCUUAUUUACAAGAAACCCAUUAGAUUUGGGCUGGGUUGGAAUGGUAAUUAUUAGAACUUAGAAUGGUAAUUUUGUCCAUAGGAUAUGGGACAGAUUGGCCCUUGAUUUCACCUUAUUUAUAAGAACCUCAUCAGAUUUGGGCUUGAUUUCACCUUAGAAGGGUAAUUGCUGUAUCUUUAAUAAUUCCUGACCAAGUGAAACUUUAAUCAUUCAUGGCAGGGUACAAAUACAUAGUGUAAUAUAUACUCACUAUCUCACUGUCUGAAAAAACUCACGAAGAAGAUAAGGGAUUAGGAUUCUCUUCCCUCAUCUUUCCAUCGUAUUUCGUUCCCUCGUUUCACAUUUUUCAUUUUGUCUUUCUCUUUCUAUAAAAAAUUAAUAUAAGAUGUUGACGCGAUUAACCGUGACUGUUCAAAUAGGGAGAGGGAAGAGGAGGGAAAAAAAGAGGGGAGAAUAUCCUACUCCGAAUAUAAGGUCAUCUCUAACCGAAGGGUCCAAGCCGAAAAUAACCCGAAAAUCGUCUCUAACCGAGGGCUAAGCCAGAGGGCUCGUGGGCCCCACAAAAUCUGAAUGGGCCAAAUGGCCAACCGGUUGGCCAUCUUCAGCCAGCUAGCCCAUUUUGUUUUAUUUUUUUAUUUAUUUUUCUUUUCCACUUGCUGCCCAGCCCAGUUUCUGCUCUCUUUUUUUUGUUCUUUCAGCCUAGUUUAGGGCUUUCAGGCCAAGGGAAAUUGUCACUUUUUGGUCCCAGCCCAUUUUUGUAUUUUUUUUUCAACAUGCCAUUUUUUUGGACGUUUAUUUAUUUAUUUUUUGAAUUUCUAAUUUUUUCUGCAUCAUUUCUCACAUAUUUUUCAUCAUUUCAUAUUGUCUUACCUUAUUUUAUUUCAAUUCUUCACAUUCCAUACUAUAACCCUUUGACCCUCUGUUGGAUAUGGUUUUUUAUGACAGGGUUGAAACGGGCUCUUUGGCCCUUUGACUCUUGGUUGGAGAUGAAGGCAAAUAUGAUCAUGUAUUGUUUAUUAAAAUAUUAAUAUCUUAAAUGACCAGAAGGCUAAAACGAGCCCUCUAGCCAACCUUUGGUUGAAGAUGACCUAAGAGCAGUAUCUUCCUUUACAGCUCAUUGUUUAAUAUUUUAUUAUUAGGGUAAAAGACUGUUUACUACCCUCAUGUUUCGUGGUUUUCAACAUUUAGUACAUCAAGUUUUUUUCGUCUCAGUGUCAUACCUAAAGUGUUAAUUUUGGGACAGUCUCAUACAUCCGUUAGUCAAACUGUUAAGUCUGCUGUUAACUAAUGACGUGGCGCCCAUGUGGACAAUGACUGGGUGCCACGUGUCAUUAAAAAAAUUAAAUAAUUAAUUAAAUAAAAGUACUUAAAAAAAACAAAACAAAAUUAAAAAAAAACAAAACAAAACCCCUUUUUCACUUCCCCCAUUCGUCUUCCUCACUGGAAAAAGGGCUGGAUUCCUUCCCCCUUCGUCUUCCCCACUGGUGCGACAGUAAGCCCCUUGCCUCCCUCGCCCGCGCUAGCUUCCAUCUCCACCGCUCGCUCCCCUCUCUCCUCUAUUUUCUCUCCUCUCCUCUUUCCUUUUUCCUCUCUCUCUCUCUCUCAGGUUUCUCUCUCCUCUCUCUCUCGCCAGAAGGGCAAAACCCUAAAGAACCGUUUACACCCACCUGAGUAAGUUUUCUCUCUCCUUUCUCCUAUCUUCUCUCUUCUCUCUCACAAUCUCUCUUUCUCUAUCUAAAAUUUGAAUAUAUGGGUUCUUGUACUAUUAACCUGCCAUUUACAUUCUUGUGCAUAUUUGUAUAUUUAAAAGCUUCAAACUUUAUUAUGAAUUUGUUAUUUUUCUCCUUGUUAUACCCAAAUCUCAUAUCCCAAUUUCUCAUAUUACGAAACCCUAAUUUGUUGUAUUUGAUUUUGGAUGGAAAUUCAGAUCUUGGUGUUGUUUGUUUACUUGGUUGGGAGAUAGGGACCGGGAACUUGUAGAGCUUAACGGAGCCGGAGGUGAGGCAGGUGGAGUUGGGGCUGAGAGCGAGAGCCGUGACGCUGUCGCGGUGGUGGCGGAGGAGCUUGGGAAGGCUGGACAAGAUAAGAGAGUCGUGGAUGGCGAUUGUGGGGUCGGAGGAGGAGGCCGUCACUACGUGGUAGGCCUGCUGGUUCCACGGCAUCGAGCAGUACGACGGCCCCCCGCCGCUGCUCGUGGGCUUGUGGACCUCUCGGAGCUUCAAAGUUCUGAUCUUCAUGGCUCUGCGUGCUAAUCGACGGAAACUUGGAUUUGGGUUUUUAUUGUAUUUUUCAGAUUUCUUUGUUGUUUGAUUUUUUUUUUCAUGGUUUAGAGGGUAUUUGGGGCUGAGAUUUGAUUUGGGUUUUGAAAGUUUUAGCUUGAUUUUUGUAGGGUUGUUGAUUUUUCUGGAUUUUGGAGAUGAAGAUUGAGAUGGGUUUAGGAUGAGGGGUUUGGGAUGAUGAAGAUAAAGAAAAAUCCACGUGGACCUUUUAAUGACACGUGGUGCCUAGUCAUUGUCCACAUGGGCGCCACGUCAUCAGUUAACGGUAGAUUUAACAGUUUGACUAACAGAUGUAUGAGACUGUCCCAAAAUUAACACUUUAGGUAUGACUCUGAGACGAAAAAAACUUGAUGUACUAAAUAUUGAAAACCACAAAACUUCAGGAUAGUAAACAGAGUUUAACCCUUAUUAUUAUAUUGACCUAAAACAUAUCACAUCACAUACCAUUUUAUUAUUUUAAUUCAUUAGACACAUGGGUAGGCUGAUCACAUUCACCUAAAACCCUCUUUAAUCCGUACACGGUACACCCACCACUGCAUCAUUUUGAGUAAUAUUGUAUUAUUGCAACGACAAUUUACAAGAAUACGCAGUACCAGAUGUACACCCACUACAGGAAUAAGCAUUUUUGAUCAAAUUAUUAUUUUUGAUAAACCCAUUUAGAAUCUAAUCUGGUUCUGCCUGGAUUCCAGGGUAAAAACCUUGAAACUUAAAGGUUGGUUUGAUCUGGGUUUUCCAAUUAAGUUCUGCAUGAAAGUGUUGGCUGCUGCUGCUCCGCUCCCUCAACGCUCAUUUUUUACACAUCGCAUCGUCGAUCCGAUCCCCGCUCCAAUCCGCCAAACAGGUUCGUCCCCCCUCCCAAAUCCCCUAAUUCGUAUUGUUUAUUUCUAUCCGAAUUUUGAUCUGGUUUUUUUUCUUUUCCAUAUUUCCAGUAAAUCAUUUGUUAUUCCUCCUCAUCUCUCUUGGUGCUUUCACUGAAAUUUUCAGUUCUUAGAUCGUAUUUUGUUUCUGAUUUCUGUUUGCGUUCAGUGUGAUUUUGUGUGAAAGAAUCAAAGAUGUUGGGAAUUUUAAGGCAAAAAGUGGGAGCUGGAAGCUCAUCAGCUAUGGUACACCCUCUACUUCUGCAAUUUAUGAACCUUCAUUAUAUAAAACACUUGAUUAAUUUAUUAUUAUGUGAUUUACUGCCUAAUCUUUGUGUUGGUUCAGAUUUUGGGGCAGAAGAUCCUCCCCGCCACGUCGGCAAUGAGGGGUUUCGCAGCUUCGGCUAAAGAGGUAAUCUGACGCCUACCAUCAUCUAAUCUUUGGCAUUUAUAAUCCAUGCGAUUGCUUAACAAAAAAAUUGUGUUUUUUGCUUUUUUAGAAGAUUAAUUUUUGUAUAAAAUAUAAAUCUUAUAAACAUUCUACCCAUUGUUUAGUUUAACGAAUUUUGUAGUGUUAGUUCUGCACCACUCCAAUUUGCCUUUGAUUGGAUAAAUAAUAGCAUUGUUUAGCUAAUUUGCAAAUUUCCUCCUAUUCCUAAGUUAGCAUUUUUAGUCAAAAAUUUUAGAUUUUACAGAUUUUUCCAGUUCAGGAUGAUAAAAAUUUAGGGCUUUGAUUUGUUGAUGUGAUUUCCACGUAUUAUGAAUUGAAAUAGAAAUGCAAGGAUAUAUUAGAUGUGUGAGUAAAUUUCCAGUCUUCAUAUAUUUGUUUAACCCUUAACGAUAUGUGAAUUAUUGAUUGAUAAUUUGAUAAUAUGUAUGCUAUUAUUGAUUAAGAAAAAUUAGUUUGUUAAUUUGUUGGGCUUGGUUGUUUUGGCAUGUUGAUGUUAUAAAGCUCCUCUUUAUAGUUAGGUUGAAGAUCAAGUUAAUAGAUUUUUUUUUGGUUGGUUCGGAUCGGGCGAUUCCGGAGGCCUGCCAUCGAGGUUAGUCUGAAGUGAUUCCAAUCUUAUUGACUUAUUGCAUGUUAAAUUCUGCUUCAAAUUUGUGAUUUAAUAUAAUUGGGCUUUAGAAAAAAAAUUCAUGAUUUUGUCUAAUCCAAUUGAGUGAUUAGAAAAGUUUUCAUCAAAUUUCUGGUUCCUGGGGGGUUCUGAAUCUUGAUGUUGAGAGAGCUUGGUUGCUUUAAUUGCUAAUGAAAUUCUAUAUAUACUAAAACCCAAACGCUGGUUACUGUUCUAGGGCAGUGUGCGGACUAAAAUACCCCUCAAUUCGUUUGUUAAGCCAAUUUUUUGCCAACUUUUCUACAGUAAAAUGACUUCCUUGCCCCUCCGAGGCCACGCGUUUAUCCUCUCCGGUUUCGAUUUCUUUGGGUGCUUUUCGGUUCUCUCUCUCCCCAUCAUCAGCUUUUCCUUAUUUUGUUUGACUCCUGCUCUCCCCGUCUCCCUCCUCGCCUCACUCUUCUCUGCACCAAGCAGCUCGAUUUAGGGCUUCACCAUUUCUCUUCGAAUCAAGGUCUCUAUUUCUCUCCCUAUUUUCCGAAUCUAGGUUUCCUAUCUGUCUGUGGAAAACCCUAGAUCUCGCCACUGCCGGAGAGUCCAAGCUCGGCCCUUCGAGCUUCAAUCUGCCUUGCAGAUCGGCUCCUCUCGGCGCCUCCACCUAAACCCCUCUGGUAAAUUUCCCAACUUUUCCCCCAAUUCUUUUUUCUCUCUAUUUCUGCGCUUUCGAUAGGUUUCAGAUUUUCCCUUUCUUAAGCUUAUUUUUCUGAAAGGACCUUGAUUUUGUGUUUAAUUCGGGUUGUUGCGUCGUGAAUUUUGAAUUUUAUGUUUAAUUUGGGUCUUUACAUAGUGAAUUUUGAAUCUUUAGCCUGAUUAUGCUGUAAUUAAUUUUAAUUUUGUGGGUUCGAGUAAAUUCCUCACCUUUUCUUUUCGUUCUUUAAUUUUUGAGUUCGAUCUGUUAAAUAUGUGUGAUUACUGGGUUUUUCCUAUCUGUUAAAGAUUGAGACUUUUGUUCUACCAAAUUUGAGUUGCAGCAGAAGGAAGCUAGGAGGUGCAGCAACUGGAAGUCGGAUUUCACUCCUGUCAUUGCAAUUAGAUCAGGUUCUGGCUGAUUUGAUCUGAGCAUGCACAUGUACUCUUCUUCUACUCUUUCCAAUUAUACACUUUCCUUUAAAAAAUUUCAUGUAAAACCUGAAAUUUGUAGUGACUCAUUGUUUACGUUAGUACGUGGGAGUAAUAAGGUGGGGGAGCUACUCAGCUGAGCUAAUUAUGAAAGGGGAAAUCAAAUGGAAACAGAAGGUUUCAAUUUUUGUACGUUUUUAAAUAAAAUGGAAAUCAAACUUUUAUGGGUAGGUAAAUAAAAACAAAAAGUUUGAUCAUUUUAACUCUUUAAAUGUUUAAUUAAAUUCCAAUUGAGGAAAGUAGUUUAAUUUUUUCAAUUUUCAGAUUGAAAAUCUGAAGGUUGUCUGUAAUCUUUGAAUUCCGCAGGACUCCGUUUGAAGCAUCACCAGGAACUAGAAAAUUAAACACUUACAACACAGCUGUUAAAGACGUUAAAGUAUUUCAAUUUGGCUAUUGGCAAAUAUGUUUGGUGUUUUAUGGCGAGAGAUGGUUGGUUUCUGCUUCUAAUUAUGUUAGCAGGAGGUACAUGAGUGAUCACUGCGACAGUUGGUGGACCUCAACAAGAGGUAUUUACUCGAAGGGUGACAUUUUUGUUCAGUUGCAUUUAGAAUUUUAGUUAGAGUAACCGUUAUUUGAUUAAUAUAGUUUGCUUAAUAUUGUUUGUAUGAGUUGUUGGGAUAAAGAUUUCCCAUGAAUGUUGCAUCAUAUAUGCAUUAUUGGGCAUGUUUAUUGCAUAAUGUUGAUGUACUUUUGGAGUUUCCUUUAUUGAUUUUAUAAUUAUUCAAAAUGUAGCAUAUCCAGGAGCUUAUUCGUUAUCUGCAAUUUGGACUCUGAUGGCUGGCUCUUGGUGUAGCAUCAUCUAUUGGUCUUGGUAAGUGCGAGUUAUAUUCAAAAUAGCAUGAAAACUCACAACCUGGAUACUGGAAAUCAUUAUACAAUCCAUACUUGAGGGCAAGUUCUCUUUUCUUUUUUGUUUAGUGUGGAUUCUCUCUCUUUUGGAGUUUCCUUUAUUGAUUUUAUAAUUAAUCAAAAUGUAGCAUAUCCAGGAGCUUAUUCGUUAUCUGUAAUUUGGACUCUGAUGGCUGGCUCUUGGUGUAGCAUCAUCUAUUGGUCUUGGUAAGUGCGAGUUAUAUUCAAAAUAGCAUGAAAACUCACAACCUGGAUACUGGAAAUCAUUAUACAAUCCAUACUUGAGGGCAAGUUCUCUUUUCUUUUUUGUUUAGUGUGGAUUCUCUCUCUUUUGGAGUUUCCUUUAUUGAUUUUAUAAUUAAUCAAAAUGUAGCAUAUCCAGGAGCUUAUUCGUUAUCUGCAAUUUGGACUCUGAUGGCUGGCUCUUGGUGUAGCAUCAUCUAUUGGUCUUGGUAAGUGCGAGUUAUAUUCAAAAUAGCAUGAAAACUCACAACCUGGACACUGGAAAUCAUUAUACAAUCCAUACUUGAGGGCAAGUUCUCUUUUCUUUUUUGUUUAGUGUGGAUUCUCUCUCUUUUUUUUUUGUAAUUUCUGGUGCUUUCAGUAACUUCAAUGAUAAUUAGUUUUUUUUUUUCCUUUUUGAGGUUUUCUUUUUUGUUUUAAUUUACAAUAUUACUGAUUUUUAUGUAUUUUUUGAAGGUUGUGAUACACUCAUAAAAAGCAUACGAUUUCUUCAGAAAAUUGGCAAUUGACUCAUCAGUAAGUCUAUUUUUUGAAUAGGAACUAUUCAAAACGAUGUAUGAUUUAUUUUUUCAUAAACUAUUAAAUUACGUGCCUUUGUUAUUUUAUAAACCCUCUAUAAAUCCACUAUGUAGCGCUAUUUUUACGUUUUUUUAUUAUAAUUGACUAAUUUGUGAUUGUGUUUGGUUAGGGAAAUGCAGAGAGAAGACGUUCCCAGUAAGUUUAGCAGAAAUACCAAAGGAAAUGAGGCAAUCCAAAUCAAUGGCAUACAGAGUGUUCGGAACUCAACGAAAAAUGAGAAAGGAGCUGUAGUUGAUUAGAAAGAGCAACAGGUUUGAUGAUGGUUGCACUGAAUUCCUUAUGUGAUGAUUCAAUUUUGGGUUUUAAAUAAUGCUCCUGUUUGAAUUUUAAACUCUUGAUUUUCCAUUCAGUGUUUCAACAAAAAUUCUCCCCAAUGCUGAUUUGCUUACGGCGGUGUUUAAGGUAAAUUUUGCUCCCUUCCAGAAUAAUUUUCAAUGAAUUAUGUCUUCUGAGUAGUAUUGAAGCCGGACAUUGUAUCUUUGAGAAAGUUUAUGUAUAGUUUCUGCAAAAGUUUAGUUUGGAAGUAGUAUAUAUCUGUAUGUGGAGUUUUGCUUUUUUCCACUGUGAAAUCAAACCCCUCUAUCCAGUCUCUUACAUUCUUGAUAUGCUCAUCCCCCGAAAUCUUCCUUUCUCAUCUAAAGGCAGAUCAGAGAAUUCAACAUUCUCAGUGGUCAAAUUUUUUACCCAAGGUGGGUCUCGAGUCAAUCAGCGGUAUGCCUUCAGCUUUGAAUGAGAGCUUUGGCAUGUACUCGGGAUCUAGGGGAUAGUUGGUUCAACCUCUCCCGUGGUAGGUAAACUUAAUUUGGAAGGAAAGCAACUCAAUGCUUUUUUUUUUUUUUUGUAAGAAUGCUACUAGAUGAAUGGCAGAUUUAUCAUAUGAGCGUCAUUGAAGUUUUAUCUUGAAUCUGAACAAGUUUUUGUCAAUUGUUAUUUUCAAAGGUUGUGACAGUUUGUGCUGGCCUUGCAGAAAUUUUUGUGAUCAUAAAAUUGUCAUGUGAUAUUACUAUUGUCAAUGUUAUGCAAGGAAUAAAGUUUGUAGAAGGUUGCUGAUCUACCUAUGCUGCCACCAAAAUAAUGUAUGUAAAAAGUUGCUGAUCAACGAUAACAGGUAGCUUGCAAUUUUUUUUUUUUAAUGUAUCCUAUUAAAUGGAUUUGAGAGCUGCGAUAUUACUGAAUUAUUUUAACAAUUUACAUUAGUAGCUUUUACUUUUUCACAUUGUUACCGAGAAGCAUGAAUAUCAUAAAAAAUAAAAGAAGUUCUGAAGUGAUAAUCGAAGAAUUUAAAAGUGCUGAUUAGUGUAUGUGUGCAAAUACUGUAAACAGGAAUACGAAUCCAUAAUUGAAUCCCUAUUUUGGUUGUACAUGUGUGUAGAAUUUUUUACAUAUUUUAUACGCUUUAAAAACCCGCAGCAACGCGCGGGUACUUAUACUAGUUAGCUUCUAAAUGUUCAUCAUUUGCUUGUUUAUUUUCGUUCUAUAUUUUCUUUGAGUUCAUAUAUAUUUGGUUUUUUUUUCGUGAUAUAUUGCCGAUGCCAAAAUAUCAUAUUUACAAGGACAAAGAUAGCAAGGUUUUAAAUCAAAUUUUUGUCCUGAUUCUACUGUUGGGUUCACCAUCAAUAAAAGGCACAUGAAAUAUGGUAUUGAUUUUAGAGCCUUUGAUUUAUCAGAUUGUCUUCAUAUAUCGAAUGUCAUCUGAAUUUAGUUGUAGUUAACAUGUCAAAGUUUGUUGUUGUUUAGCUUUUUCAAAUGGUAGCCUUAGUAUUUGCCCAGUAUUUUUUGUGAAUUCCAAACUUUGCUUAUAAUUGUAGGUACCUAAAAGCUGCCAAUUGGAUUUGUUCUUCAGAUGAUAAUGGCAUACCUAUAUAAUGGUUGUUCUUUUGCUUUGAUGUAGAAGUAAGAAAAUUGCUUUGCCCCUUAUCUAUCCCGCUUCUUUCUGUCCGUGUGUUCUUUGUUCAAAGGUUGGUUGGUUGUUAAACUUGAUGUUGUAGAAGAGUUAAUGUCUGGUAGGCAAAUGAUUAUGGUGUUGUUCCUAUUAUGCAUAAGGUCGUGGUAAUAAUAUUGUGAGAUUUUGUGUCUGCAUAAAUCCAGUAGUGGUUUUGAUAAUCAGAAAGUAAUCUCUCAACUUCUUUGUGAUUAUAGUUGCUUUGAUACUGUCAUAGGGACUUUUGUCAUACUUACAAAUUGAUUUUGAUAUAUCCCUUCGUAGGUUUAAAAUUUUUGUCAAACCCAAAAGUUACCUUGCUGGGCAUAUUUAAAAAGUAGUUUAAUUAAUCAAUAUUACUAUGGUAGUUUUAAAGUAUAUGUUAAUUGGAAUUAAUCCUUUUGGUUUUAUUUUUAAAACUACAUAUCUGUGGUAAGGAGGGAUACCUAUUGAAGUUUUGAAUUUCCAGUACUCAGGUGCUUAAAGAUUUGAAUUUUUAAAGUGGUUCCACAAAACCUGCAAAGUGGUUCCACAAAAAUCUUCAAAGUGGACGUUAUGUUGCUUGCAGCAAUAGAUUGUUUAGGGUUUAGUUGAAAAAGAUAUACAAAAAAAACUAGGUAAUGAGGCAUUGAAUUGGGUUUGAGAGUUUUGAUAUUAUGAGAGAGGUAAGGAGUACAUAGGGAGAGAGGGAGGUAGGUGAUUUGCAGAAAUGGAGGGUGAGAGAAAAACGGGAGAAAAGGGGUAGUACAUUAUAUUUUGAUUUUAUAAUUUUGGGGGUUUUGUGUUUAAACUUUUUUAGUACUUUUUUUUAGAUAUAGCCUACAAAUGUUGACCCAGAGGUUGGACAUAAUCAUUACUUCUUAUUACAAUUAUUAAAAUUAAUUAUAUUAACUAAAUUUGAUUUGAAUGUUUUGAUGAUGGUAACCACUAACAACAAAACAACGAUCUCCUUAAUCUAGGAGAAAGAGCCGAAAGGUGAGGAAGAAAAGAAGGGAAAGCAGGAAAGAGAGCUCUGCACAUGCAAAUGUCAGUGUUCAUGUAAAGCAAAGGUUUCUCUUUCGUGUUGUUGUUUAUCUCUGUCUAGCUCUGGUAUUUUGAGGGUCUCCGAGAAUACAAUAUACUGUGACUCGGGUCUCAUAGCUUUCUUGCUAUAUGAUAUCAUAUAAGUAAAUGCUAGAAUGCUAAAUUUUAACCAAGACCAUACUCACAAGCAAAAUACAAAUACAAAAGUCCAUUUUAAAAUGAAGUUGUGAUUUAUCGAAAGAUGUUCCGUAAACAUAGGAAUUAUGGAUAUGUAGGCAUAUGUAUUUUAGCAUUAUGUGAUGAAUAGGUUUAUUUUUUCUUAAAUUAUUUUUCUUUGGGUAUUGCAUGUCGUGAUCACCACAGUGAUGUUUGAUGUUCUUCUUCAAGUGCUUCUUGGGGAUGUUGGAGCUGGGAAAUCAAGUCUGGUGUUGUGCUUUGUAAAAGGACAAUUCGUUGAAUUUCAGGUUUGUUCUAUAUCUUUCAAAAGACGCAUUUUCUUUUUUAUCCAUACCUUUACUUUUAUAGUAUGCUAUGAUGCACGGAUACUUCUGUUUGGUCCCGCAUCCCGUAUCCGAUACUUGAUCGGAUACGAUACUUGCCCGAUACUCUCGGAUACUCGUCUGAAACGUAUCCUAGUUGAUGGAUACGCAUAUCUUACAUUUAGGAUACACGUAUCUAGCUUUUAGGAUACAUUUACACUUUCAAAAAAGGUAAUGAGGAGGAGAAAGUUAAUAGGAGGCAUCUAUAAUUGAAAGUUGUUGAAUAAAAAGAGCUUCCCUUUAAUUAAAAUCAUGAAUACGACUUUCACACUUCUUCUACUAUAUAAAGAGGAUUAUAUUUUGAACUUUUCUUCUCUAACAACUCAAAUGUACUUGAAUUUGAAUGAUGAAUUAUGUUUUAAAAUGUAUAUUUUUGUUGCUACAUACAUUUUUAUUUGCCGUAUCCAUAGCAUAUCGUAUCUUAAUUUUUAAAGAUUUUAUGUAUCGCCGUGUCGUGUCGUAUCGUAUCGCAUCGCCGUAUCCGUAUCCAUGCUUCAUAGAUAGUAUGUUAUUACAAGAAUCAAUUGCCACCCUUAGUUGGUGGUAUUAUCUUUACAACACAUUCAAAGCAACAAAUAAAAUCGCACUUGCUAUUUGUUCUGUCAAUUGGACUGCUAGAGUAGAACUAUAGAAAUAUCUGGUGAAAGCAAUGAAGAAAUCAUUAUGAUUGAUCUGCAAAGAAGCUCUAAUAAGUUACAAGAGAGUAGCAAUGUAAAUUGAACUGCUUAUUUUAUGGAUCAAUUCACCUAUCUCUUGCUUUUUCUUUCAUUUGGAGAUAAUUGUGUAAAUGUGUGGUUUCGUGAGUGUUACUCAUAUGAAACGUGUGUUGUCUGAAUUGCUACAUUUAAGAAUGUGAUUGUAUGUAGCAUUUUCAAUUAAUUUUUCUAUGAAUAUUAUUCAUGGUUUGAAAACCCGCAGCAAAGCGUGGGAAUUCCUGAUAUCGAUUCUGGAAGCACGCCGAAACAAGGCCGUUUGACCGCAAUUCACAAGAAUUGCUCUGCCGCGACCUGAGCAGUUCAAAUUCAAACAACCCCAAUUAGGCUUCCACAACAUCAACAACCCUUGUGUUGAUAUGUACUUCCACUACGCCAAGGACGCCAUGUCGACCGUGGAAUUCCACAAAAUUCUGAUGAACCAAGUGCUUCCCUCGGCCUGGUCGCACAAUCUUCUAACCACCCUCAAACUCAUCUGCAACUUCAUAGACAGACGCGGCUUGGCUCUACUAGAACCACCCCAAAACCCUUGCCUACAAUCUCGUGCCAAUUUUCGGCUCCUUCGGACAUAUCCUAGACCUUCCUCGCAUUUUCUCGCAGGUUCGACGAGGCGAAGCUCACCUGAAAUUUACUGGGAGGACGAGGGAGAAGGCGGAUUCAAACGGAAUGGUGAAGGUUAAGGAAAAAGACACCAAGUCAAAGGCAAGCGAAUUGUUGUUGAGGAGGAAGGCGAUCCACACGACCAACAAGGCGGCUUAGAGAUACGAGUGCGACGCUGAUUAUCGCUUUUUGCACGACUGUGUUUCGGAUAAUUUUGCCCAGUGCCUCAAGUUUGAUAUUGAAAAAUUCAUCAUCACAAGGACCAUGACCAUCAUGAUGAUUACUGCUUGCAGAUUACCCAAGCAGCUACCUAUUUGCCUACCAUCGCUGAUCAUUGCAAUGAAGGUUUUCCCGCCAGAAUCAUGCCUCCGAGAAGGGGAUGGUAGUGUUUGUUGUAUUGACCGACUGAGGAAGGAGGUUUUGUUGCCCUUGAGAAAAACUAUGGCGCCAUAGGGCUGGGAACCUUCCAACCGGUGGGGUUAUAGAGCGAAGAACAAGCGAGAGCAACUGGCUCCAGCCAAUGAGAUUGAUCCUGACGAUGCAGCGCUGCUUCCGCUGACGAUGCAGCGCUGCUUCCACAUGACAUAUUAAGUUAUAUCAAGUAUCCUGAGCUCGAGCAAGAAGCUAAUAUUAAGUGGAAGAAAAUGAUGGAGGUCUACUCAAAGCAGGGGAAGUUGAAGAAUUGGUUAGCUGUAUGUUGUCGACAACACCUUGUUGGUGAGUUUGGCUUUGGGGCUUUUGUUGCCUCAAUUGAGUGACGAGCGAUGGAAGGGAAAUGUGGUCACCUAAAGCAAAAACCUUUAGCUGCAUUCGAUACAAGGCGAUGAUCUUAAUUCGAGGGCCGAAUAUUAUGCAGACUUUGAUCAAAAGCCAGGACUGGACGGCUGAUUUCAAGAAGGUGUUCGAUGUGAUUCUAGAAGAGGUAGUGAAUGCGAAUUUGAAGCCAGAUAAGAUGGUCAAGAAGGUGCUCGCCUUGACCACAUACAAACACUUCUUGACAGGCAGCAACCUCAGCUUCUGGGGGGAGACUAAGAUGUCUCCCUUUCUUCUUCUAGUUUCUGCUACUACUUUCACUUCUCCAAAGCUCUCAUUCUUUCUUUGAGUUCUGAUGAUACUAAGAGAGAGUAUAUAUGUAAUUAAUACUUUUGCAGAGAAGAGCAAAGUGAGUGACGAGAACUAAAAAAGUGGGACUGGAAAACGGUAGGCUUAUAACGUUCAAAUUCUAAUGGUCACUUUUAGUGUAGGCAAUGGAAACGAAUAAAAUGUGGGGCCUAGACUUGCUGCCUCAAGUGAUCUGGCACUGGCACUUCCAAAUGUAAAGAAAAAAGGCACAAAGACAACUAGAUGAGCACCAUAGCCUUAAACAGGUUGAUCUUGCUUUGGAAUUGUUUAUUGAUCCGAGGUUAUUUUUCAACUGAGAUUUGCUUUGGUGAGCAUGAACUUCCCUACAUUUUGGUUUUACUCGGGCCCCACUGUUGAGGCCACUCAUGUGAGAAAGGUGACACUUGCAUAGCAAUUUAACCAAAGAUUUUCUUCAGGUGACACUGAUCGACCAACAAUUCAUAAUCAUUCAUGUAAAAAAGUUGGCUUAUGCAAAAACACUACCAAAGAGUCACAUUAGGGUGACACCGUAAUGAAUCAACAAUUGACAAUAACUCAUCUAGAGCCAACUCGUGGCUUUUGUUUAUAGGCAUCUACUAAGAUUGCUUAUGUUUUAUUAUACCUACUUGGGUAUCAGAUAGAAAAGGGUGGUGCUAUUCACACCUAUUUUACCUCCACCCACUCUUCUCAAUUUUCGACCGUCGGAUCGAAUGAAUUAAAAAAGACCAAAAGACAAAAAUUACCAAAAAAAUGUGUGAGAAAUUAAAAUGGGUGUGUGAAUAGCACCAACUAUUGAAAAAGAAACAUCCAUUAUUUUCCUUUUGAUUAAAAGUGGAGAUUUACACCGCAACAUACUACCACAAAAUUGACAUGUAAGUUUUACUCAAGGGCAAGUACAUCGGUGCACAAAAGGAUAAAAGGCGUGCAUAAAUCAUUUCCCAUUAUUUAUCACCUUCCUUCUCUAAUAAUGCCAGCGAGCAGUGAUUGAGUGAUGUUUACUGGAGAAGGCGCAAGGUCAACCACGGGGGGUGUUAGCACCACUUGUAUAGCCUUCAGGCUCAUAGUUGAGGCGGUCAUUACUAUGCUUGGAUGCAGUUGAUGGGGUAUCAUCCUUCAUCAAAAAGCUACAUGUUGACAAUGUCGUUACAUCUUUAAAAUCAUAAUAUGUCAAAUAGCUCGGCUUCGUCAUGAUAGUGCCUAUGUCAAUAUCUUCAGAGAGCAUUGCCACCACGCGUGACAUAUAUGGCCUCGUCAUUGGUGAUGCCUGUGUGCACAUGAGAGCUACUCUUAUCAGUCUAGUCGCUUCAGUUUCGUCAAACUCUGUCAAUCUCGGAUCCACCAACCCCAUAAUUUGGUCAUUUUCAUGUAGAGUCCAUGUAUGAAAAACAUUAUGCCAUGGUCCAAGGAAAGGGUGAAUAAGUUUUUCACAACAAUGCCAAAAUAAAGCUAGGGGAAUGCAAUUCCUACCCAUUCAAGAAGAUAAAUCUCUUAUGGAUCUAAGUUAUUGUCAGAGUUUGGUCUCCCGCUGGGGAUCUCCAAAAGCAACGGCUCCAAAACCAAACACAUCAGCCUUCUUUAUCAAAUGUCCACGCAUUGCAUACUUGGGUGCCAAAUAGCCUCUGCAAUGCAAUAAUCAAAUUGUUGUACAAUGUUUCUUUAGAUCAUGAGUGGCAUUAUUAACAUGAUUUGUGUUAAAAUUUCAUGCAAGUAUAAAUGUGUGGCUAUAAUAUAUGUAUCUUGUGGAAAAAUAAUAAAGGAUGGCUUACAUUGUCCUUGCAACCCAGGUGCUGAUGUGGGUUUUCUCGCCAUCAUAAAGCUUUGCCAAUCCAAAAUCUGAUAUUUUUGGGGGGAGUUCUGCAUGAAGCAAAAUAUUAAUGGCUUUGACAUCUCGAUAUAGAAUCCUUGGCCUUGACUCCUCAUGGAGGUAAGCAAGUUCUCUUGCUGUUCCCAACAAUAUAUUGAAUCAAGUAGGCCAACCAAGGUGCAAGUUACUUGUCUCUGAAAUAUUAGUGAACACGUCCAAUCAAAAUCAAGGCUCAUUUUAUAGACCCAAAAAGGCAUUUUCUUCUUUAUUAUGCAACUGGACCAUCAACAUCAAGGCUCAAUUUAUAGACCCAAAAAGGCGUUAUUAAAUUAUCUGAAUUCCCUGAACACAUUCUUAAUUUUUAGUGGUGGGAUCUCCAUCAAGUGGUGGUGGUUCAUGAACAUAUCUAUAAACAUUGUGUAUGAAUAAGUAGGAUAUACAUCCAUCUGCUAAGGUAUAUUCAAAUCUGGCAUGCCAGUCCCUGCCCACUACCAAAAGCCAAAGCUAAAUUACAAUUACAAUUAAUUAUUAAAAUGUGUAUUAUAUAAAAGGAAAGGGUCCAAAACAAGUACAAGGGUGCACAAAGGGGUAAAAAGAACAUGCGAAAAUCAUUUCCCGAUAUUUAUCACCUUCCUUCUCCUCUAAUGCUAGCGAGCAGUGAUUGAGUGACGUUUACAGAAGGUGUAGGGUCAAUCCAGGGAGUGUUAGCACCAUUUGCAUUGCUGCCUCCCGACUAAUAGUUGAGGCGAACAUUACUACCCUUGGAUGAAGUUGAUGGGGUAUCAUCCUCCACCAAAAAUCUACUUGUUAACGAUGUUGUUACAUCUUUAAAAUCAUAAUCUGUCAAAUAGCUUGGCUUCGACAUGACAGUGCUUAUGUCAAUGUCUCCAGAGAGCAUUGCAACCACACGUGACAUAGAUGGCCGUGCCAUCGGUGAUCCCUGCGUGCACAGGAGAGCUGCUCUUAUCAAUCUAGUUGCUUCAGUUUCAUCGAACUCUAUUAAUCUCGGAUCCAUCAGCCCCAGAGUUUGGUCGUUUUCAUGUAGAGUCCAUACCUGAAAAACAUUAUGCCACUGUCAAAGGAAAGUAUAAAUAAGUUUUUCACAACAAUGCCUAAAUGAAGCUAGGCGAAUGCAAUUCCUACCCAUUCAAGAAGAUAAAUCUUUUCUGGAUCCAAGUUAUUGUAAGAGUUUGGUCUCCCGCUGAGGAUCUCUAAAACGACGACUCCAAAACCAAACACAUCGGCCUUCUCUGUCAAAUGUCCAAACAAUGCAUACUCCGGUGCCAAAUAGCCUCUGCAAUGCAAGAUAAUCAAAUGGUUGCACAAUGUUACUUAAGAUCAUUAGAGGCAUUAUUAACAUGUGUGAAAAUUUCAUGCAAGUAUAAAUGUGUGUGGCCAUAAUGUAUGUAUCCUCUGGAAAAACAAUAAAGGAUGAUUUACAUUGUCCCUGCAACUCGGGUGCUGAUGUGGGUUUUCUUGUCAUCAUAAAGCUUUGCCAGUCCAAAAUCUGAUAUUUUUGGGGAAAGUUCUGCAUCGAGCAAAAUAUUACUCGCUUUGACAUCUCGAUGUACAAUCCUUGGCCUUGACUCCUCAUGAAGGUAAGCAAGUCCUCUUGCUGUUCCCAACAAUAUAUUGAAUCGAGUAGGCCAGUCAAGGUGCAAGUUACUUGUUCCUGAAAUAUCAGUGAACACAUCCAAUCAAAAACAUUUCUUAACAAUUUUAGAGUGCUUGAAACUGCAGACAAUGUUGUUUCUAUGCAACCUAAAAGUAGAUAGGUUUGUACCAAAAAGUGCCUGAUCAAGGCUCUUGUUUUCAAGAUACUCAUAAACCAAAAUGUGGUGGCUGCCUUCAAUGCAGCAUCCAUACAAUUUCACUAGAUUCCGAUGUUGCACAGCAGAUAUGGUAGCAAUUUCAGAUACAAAUUGACUCUUCCCUUGGUGAGAUGCUACUGAAAGUUGCUUCACAGCCACUACUCUACCAUCAGAAAGUGUACCCUACAAUGUACACAGAAACACAAUUUAGUGACGUGAAGGGAAAGAAAACAGAAGCUAUAUGUUCUUUUCUCGCUCUCUCUCCUUUCUCUUGUCAUUACUUCAAGUACAUGAUAUUGAUGUAAUAAGGAUUUCACCUUAUAAACGGGGCCAUAUCCUCCCUCUCCUAGCUUAUUUGAAAGAUUAAAAUCUUCGGUUGCAGCUCUUAAUUCAGCAUAACUAAAAGUAUAUGGCCAGGGGCCUAAUCCUAGAAUAUCUGCACAUUCACAAAACAGUAUGACAUAAGUUUUACUUCAGUGAAAGCCUUCUUACUUUUGUGUGUUAAUGUCAGAGCAAAGAAACCUGAAUUGGGUACCAGUAAUGAUAUGGUCGUUUACCUUCAUCGUCUUCUUUUUCUGUUUUUUUCCUCCUCAUAAAUAGAAUCGCAAAUAUUAAUAGCAAGCUCACAACUCCAACAAGAACUGCAAUACCGACUAUCAACCCAGCCUUGCUCUUCUUUGUAAAAUCUAAGUGAUAAAAGAGACGAAUUCUUCAAUGUCAAUUAACAGCAUAAAAAUACAUUUAAACCACUCACAGGAAAUCUCUAUAAGUUAUCAGAUACUAUACCUGAAGAAGCAUGGACAGCUGCUAUUAGUGGGCCGUAAUGACCAUAAUCGGGUAUGCAACAAGUCCCUUUACCAGCCCAGAACAGAUGAAUUUCAAGAUAAUUCUCUGACAUGCUAACAUUAAAUUUUCUCACAACUGCUCGGUUAACACCACCUGCCUCCUUCGAUAUGUCAAAGUCCUUCGUCCUGCGGGUACCCUAGCAACCAAAUGAAGAGGUAGGUGAUAAUUCUAUUCUCCUUUAAAUCACUGUCUUUAGUUAAUGUAGCUUAAAACAUCGAAAACCUGUCCAAUGAGGUGUUUACUUCAAAUAAGUUAAAAUUUUUAUUCUAUAAGCAGUCUUACCUGGAUAUAGAUAUCAAAUACACGCCGUCCUAGACUUUGCCAAGUUUGCGAAGUGCGACUUUCAUAAACCGUCUCUGCAAAGUGCAAUGUUACAGUGUAGGGCCCAUUCUCAAGGCCCAGGCCAUAGUAUCUCAGUGAUCCUGUGGACACUCUUGAAGUCUGGAAAAGCUCCGGGGUCACGUCUGUUCCGGUGACUUGUGCAUGGGUAUUUACCAACGAUGGGGUAUUUUCCCGAGACGAUGAGGGGGACGAUGAGGGAUAUUGGUCAGAAAACAAACCGGCAUUGCUGACUGCCCAAUUCUCUGCACUGGUUACACUGAAUGUUGCUGAGCCAAGAACUGAUUCAUCAGUCUCAUACAAUAUGCCAUCUCCCUUCAUUUGCUGUCCACCACAGUUGAUUGAGAAGCUUGCAUCUGUAAAGUUUCAUGUAAUACGAGAAUCUACCCAUGAUUAGCGAUGAAACUUCAAAUUGAAGACUCAUACUAAUGUUCUUCAGUCACAUAUUUCUAACCAGUUAUGCAUAUUACUGAACUUAUGAAAACAUGCUUGCAAUCUAUACCCAUAUGUAUACAUAACUAGAGAAGCAAUGCCUUUUCCUGUAACAUGAUGUUGCGUUAAAAUAGUAAAUGAUGGGUGACAUAAGAGCAGAUUACAUCGUGGGGUAUUUCGAUUGCAUGGAAAAUUUCUCUGGAGGCAAUUCAAUCCACGAAGACUGCAAACACAGAGAACAAUUAUUAGUUAUCCAAAUAGAAUCAUGUAGUGGAAGAGUAGUGAUGGUAUUGCUUGUCUAAAACGAGUAAGAGAAACUUCAACUCACGUUAUGUUUGAACUGUCAAAUGUGAAGUUGUUGACCACUAAGUUCCUGCAUAAAAUCAUUAAUCAAUCAACAUAUGAAGAACUAUAUCUUUAUCAAAUGAAAAUUCCAUGUACAAGAUCAAAACUUAGUAGGCAAGUAGCACUGUGAAAACGAAUCUCAGCGAUAAUUUUUUGUCCGAACAUAUUUUGGUGAUUUAAACUGUAGAAUGAAGAUGAAAGAUAAAAUGACACGUACACUUGCGAUAUAUUGGUCACCCACUGGGGAAAGCUUCCUGAUAAAAAAUUGUAAGACAAAUCUCUGCAAAUAACAAAAUAAAAUCAGAGGACACAAAAUGCAUGAAAGUUAUUAAGAGCUUGUGUAAGAUAGGAUUAGAAUGCUUAUGGUUAUACACAAACACAUACAUGCACCGUGCAUUCUAUAUGACUACUUUAAGAAACGAGGACUUACAUGGUCUGAAGUUGAUCGCUCUUUUGGUUCAGAAGAGGUCCGGAGAGACUAUUGUUUCCAAGAAACCUGGCCAUUUUGAUUAUAGUAGAAAGGCACCCAGAAAAGAAAAGGAGAUGAACAAACAAAAGGGAAUGUUAAAGAUUUGAUAACUUAUGCAUGAUAAGGCAAGAAAAAGAUAAUAAUAAAGACGGGGAUUACAAGGAUUCAAGAGAACUCAAGUUGAACAAAGAACUUGGGAGUUGGCCUGUCAAAUUGUUGAAACUCAGAUCCCUGCACACCAACGAUAAGUUGAGAGGAGCAAUCAGAAUGAAAGAAGACAAAUUGGUCUCGUUGGGACUCAAGCUUAUAUUUGCUGGUACGUACAGUGUCUCUAGACUUUGAUAUUCUCCAAUAUUAGAUGGGAUGGUACCAGUGAUUAAUGCGUUUCGUAGUUUUCUGUAUUCCAAAAACAUAAAAUUUGAUAAAAAGAAGAUGGGGUAAGAUAUCAAAUUUCAAAAUGAAAAAGAAGUUAGAUGAAAGUAUCUGGAUUGAUGAGAAUCUUCACUUACAAUUCAGUCAAGUUUUUCAGAUUUUUUAUGAAAUCAAGAGAGGAGCUCCCAUUGUAUAUAUCACUGAUUCGCCUACAUCAUUAUAUGCAAAAUAAACUGAAAUCCCAUCUUCGGAGAAAGAGAGAGAAUUACAAUUUAUGAACAUUUGUACUUACAGAGAGUUCAAUGAGGUCAGUUGAGAAAAGCUGGUUGGUAUUGGGCCUUCGAAAGAGUUCCCUUGAAAUUGCCUACAGAAACAUAUAAGACACUUGUGAACAAAUUAUCCACCUCGGGCCUGCUUUCAUAAACUGCAAAAGAUCAAAGGUUUCUCUACUUACAAAUCAGUGAGUUGUGUCCAAUUCCCUAUGAAAUCAGGUAUCUUUCCUGAGAAAGGACUGUCCGAUGCCCAGCUAAAAUUCAAAAAGUGGACUUAUACUAAAGCUCAUCCAAGAAAAGCAAUCUCAAAGUACUGGAUAAACGAACAAAUCUAAAAUACGAUUUAAGAGCCAUUCUUACAAGACUUGCAUGUUGGUGAGCUUGGCAAAUGUUGAAGGAAUUUCACCACCGAGUCCACAGCUGUCCAUGUAACUGUGAAAAUCAUAAGGCAAUUGAUGAGUACCCAUUUCAUACGAUAAAGCGCAACUUUUGCUCAUUCGUAAGGAAUUAACAUGUAAUUCAAAUUUGAUGAUUUAACGAAGCACUUACAGUCGCUCGAGCUUGACUAAAUUACCAAGUUCUGGAGGGAGUGUUCCGGAGAAAUUAUUUGAUGCGAUGCUCCUGCAAGUCAUGUUGAACAGGCAAACACUUACUUGAAAGCAAAUAUUGAAGAGUGAUAGAAGGUUCUGUAUCUAAUGUUUACGAUACAAAAUUUUAUUGUAUGCUCUCUAAUUUUUCAGGGCUUACAGCAUAGUUAGCUCCAAAAGGUUUCCAAGUUCCUUGGGGAUGGACCCUGAGAAUGAAUUUCUGCUAAUUGUCCUGAAUGGAGAUAUCAGUUAGUGAAAGAUAAGCACCAUUAAACUUAAUUACAUUACAUAACAGGAAACUAGUAUUGCAUUAUUCAAUAAAAGCAUAAUGAUUUUUUGUAGAUUACGGCAUAAAUAGUAGCGAAAAGGUGUAAAGAACAUAACUGUAGAUUAUGAUAUUCAAAAUCAAGUAUACAAAUUCCUAUGGGUCUCAUCAGAAGUAUGAGUACUUAAAGAAAUGUUCUCUCACUACUUACAAUUCAGUCAAUGCGGACAUAUUGCCAAUGAAUGCUGGUAGGGGACCGGUGAAAUAAUUAUGAUCGAUAUACCUACAAAAAUUGAAAGGAAUGUAAUCGUUAACUCUUAAUCUUACAACAUCACCAUAUUUUUGUUGAAAUCCCACAUCGGCUAGAGAAAUAAAGAAAGAAGAGUUUAAAUAUCCAAAUCCCACUCCAACUAAUGCUGAGGCAUUUUUGAGAUAAACCUCACACCUGACGGAUUGUGCAGGUGGUAAUUACCAAUUUGGAGACAAUAUCGGUGUUGUUGGAAGUGAGUCUUUGACUCCUCUCUCUGAUAAUUCUACAAUUUUUAAUAUCCAAUGGAUAAUAUGAACGAAAAACAGAGAAAGGAGUUGGAAAAAAAUUCAUACAAAUUUGCGAGAUAUCUUAGAUCCAAAAAUUCUUCUGGAAACACCCCUCGUUUGUUAAGACCAUACACACUCCUGGAAAGCAAAAAGAUUGAACAUUUAGAACUACAUAAAAUGGAGCGACACAGUCAAAUUAUGACAUCAAUAUAUAGGUAACAAGUGAAAAAUCAGCAGUGGCACGGAAAUCUUGUUCAUAAAGAGAGUAGUUUAACAUACAGUUUGGUGAUGUGGCAUGUAGCAUUGUUGUCGUAAGUACAGUUGCAAACGACGGCUGCGCUGUUAUCGGGGAAGUUAAAUUCGGUGCCGUUGAUGGCAGAUCCACUGCAGGGUUCUCCACUGAUAUUCCACAGCCCCGGCGCUGCUUGUGUGUCCCAUUGUUCAAAUAUUGAGUUCAACGCCCUCACUGCACUCUCAGUUAAUUCAGUCAUUGUGUGUAUUAGGUUAUAUCACACCAUACUUUGACUUGCGUUACCACUUACCAGACUAUCUUGAAUCAAAUGAGAGAUCAAAUUAAUUAUUACACAGGAAAAUUACCCUUAAUUUGGAUGUUUUGUAUAUGGGAAGAAAAAGGGCUUUACAAAUAAGUUCUUCGAAACUUCAUUUCAUAUAGUCGAAAAACACUUAAAAAUGUCAUUUUGUUGAGGGAAAAAAGCCCAGUUCCUGAUCAAAAACACUUAAAUGUGGCAAAGUGUGUGUGUAGGGGGUGGGUGGGGAGAGAGAGAGAACCUUCAGAUGGAUCAGUGGUAGCAUUUUGAGCAAUGGACAGCUGAAACCAGAAGCAGCCGAGGAAGCAGAGUAAUAGUAUCCUCAUCAUCAACUUCAUCUUCAUAUCGUAUGUGCAGAACUUGCUCUCCUCAUGAACUUAAACGGCCAACACUUAUAUUCCGACUGGCUGAAUCAUGCAUUGCAUGUAAGAAGAAGAAGACCAUUAGAUUUUAGUCAUAUAUUGACAACGUAUACAUAUACAAUAUAAGGUAAAUUACAAAAAACUAUCUCAAUUAUAAGUCGAAUCACAAUCUCAGACCUCAUGUUUUAAAUAUUGCAAUAUCAUUCCUCAUCGUAUGAAUUUGUUGAAAUGUCAGGUCUUUAUUAAAUUUUCUGUCAAUCUGAUUGUUAAAUGAUGACAUGAUAGAAACGAGACCCACUUUUUUGCCAACUUGAAUAAAAAAUUAAUUAAUUAUUAAAAAAUUAAUAAUUUUUUAUUUGACAAUUAAAAUUAACUUUAAAAAUAAAUAAAUAAAAAAACCUCUCCUCCUUGUUUCGUGGAAAUAGUCCCGUUCCUCCUCCCAUCACUCCUUCCUCCGCUCCCCCUCUUCCUAGUCCUCCUUAAACACAGCUAAUUUUCGUCCUCCUCCGGGAACAACUGAUACACCGCCGAUCGCAAAACGCAGGUGGGUUUCGAUGGCAAACCAAAACCAGACCCCAAAUAAGUGGGUUUUGAUGGCAAACCAAAACCAGACCCAAAUCAUCUUGCUCCAACAGUCUUUACAUAAAACUAAUUGAUUUCUUCAUCAUAAGUUCACUAAGAUUUCGCAAAACUGAGCAUUAGAAACCAUCCCCUUAUCAUCUUCCCUCUCUUCAAAUCCCAUCACCGACUGGGGCUUUCGCCCCACUGCCAUUUCUUCAAUUUCUUCUUCUUCACCAUUUUUCUAAGAAAACCACCAAACAAAAUUGCAAAGGUAGAGAGUUCCAGAAAGCCAAAACGAAGAACCCCACAAAAACAAAACCCAAAACGAAAAACACAAAUACAAACCCAGAAAAUUCAAGAAAUUAGAGAAUUCAUUUUUUUUUAAUUAGAGAAACUAAAAUUUCAAAAAUUCAAGAAGUGGCCAUUUGAAAAUUCGCCAAGAACUCCGGAUUUUCGAAAUCCUCCAUAAUAUUAAUUGAAGAAUGGAAGUUCAUUACAGUCCAAUUUUUUUCUUUUUAUUUCCCAUUUUCUGGGUUACCACCACUGCUACAGAUUCGCUUCCCCGAUGCGUAUCAACCUCUACACCUUCUCAUUUCCGUCUCCGUCCGUUCGGUUCUCCAUCAACCACCAUUCGAUUUCUCCCAACCAUCAUUCGAAUCGAUCCACUGCCGUUUCAAAGAAAACCGGACCGAUUUUGAUGCCGAGGAAGGUAUGUGCUCGCCGACGUCGUAGCCAGAUCAUUUCGUUGCAACCUCCACAAGAACCACGGAGGGAGUCAAAACACCGGAUCUUUCCCGUCGAACAGAUUGAAUAUGUGCCGAUCUGAUAUGACGAACUCGCUGGUCCGAAUCGGUGGACUCGAAGGCGGUGGAUGGACAAGGAAGAAGGGGGACGAAGGAGGACGAGGAAGAAGGGGGACGGACGAGGGAGGUGGGGGAGGGGAGGAGACGAUUUCUGGGGAAAUGAAGAGAGUUUAUUUUUAUUUUUUUUUAAAUUAAGUUUAAUUGUUAAAUAAGAACUAGUAAUUUAUUAUUAAUUAAUUAAUUUGUUAUUCAAUGUGGUAAAUGAGUGGGUCUCACUCCUACUACUUCAUCAUUUAACAGUUAAAUUGACAGAAAAUUUAGACAUUGCAACGAUCAUAGGUUGAGGUAUGACAUUGCAAUGUUUAAAACAUGAAGUAUGAAAUUAUGGUUUCGAUAGAUAAGAUAGUUUUAUGUAAUUUAUACUGUAAUAUAUUUUGUCCAAGUUGCAUGAUCAAAUGGCGGCUACUUUUUAAUUUCCAACCUGGAGUUGGCCAAGACUUUGAUCAUAUUAGUUGAAUUUUAUACUGUAAUAUUACACACUUAGCAUUGAAAUAUUUAUGGAUUGACUUAUGGAUUAAUAUUCUUGCUCAGUUGGUCAAUUACUGUAAUUAUGGAGAGGGAUUUUUCUCGAUAGCGAAAGAACGAAGGAUUAAUUCUUUGUUAGUUGGUGAUUUUGAUAUGACAUCAAACCACGAUGUCAUUGUGACAAUUCUUAAACUAAUCACAUUAUUAUGUCUAACAAAACACAUGACACACUAUUUGAUUAGUUUUUUUUUUCCUUUCUAAAAGGAUGGACACUAGUGUCGAACUACAGUUAUCCACCUUUUUCGGAUUCAGAAGAGGCUAGUUGAAAAUUAUACCCUACCUACUGAUGACCUUGUUCAAGCAAGUACGCAGAUUACAACGUAUUGAACUCAAGACUUUGACAAUUAGCUUAAAAUAUUGCUAAGAUUACAUGUUGUAAGUUUGUCCGGUAAAAGAAUAAUAUUUCAGUCAUAAUUUUACAUAUAAAUUCAACGAUAAAAUGAAUUUUAGAUAAGUGGAAGUGGAUUUUUUCAAAGAAAAACACAGGUUGGAUUUUCUAAAAAAAAGAAAGAAAAAUCUCUGGUGGAAUUUUCAAAAGUUGGGAUGAAAAUAUCUGCAAGUAGUUGAAUGAUGCAGCGAGAAAAGUCAAAAGAUGAUAUGUUUUGGGAAAGGGAUUUUCCCACAAAAUACACGAUCCCCACAAAGUGGAUUCGGAUGAGAUCCAAUUCCUAUGUUUUGGAUGACAGAAAGUCAUACUGCCACGUAUGAACGCACCACCACCCCACCCACCUUGGCUUAAUUAUUCCGAUGACUUGCUUUUGUUGACGAAAUUUCUUACGUCUUAAUUGGGAGUGAGAUAAUUUUGUAGUAUGCAAACAAUUUGCUUUCUCUCGGUCCAUAUAUUUGCUACUAACGUCUUAAUUGGGGACGACUAAAGUACUUUUGUAUGUAUAUAAACUUGCUUUCUCUUGGUCCAUAAAUUUGCCAGUAACAUCUUAAUUGGGACCGAGAUACUUUUGCUUGAAGGUAAACGACUUGAUUUCUCUCAGUUAAUAUAUUCAAUGGCAACGUCUUAAUUGGGAUUGACAUACUUUUCUAUGGAUGUAGACAACUUGCUUUCUCUCAGCCUAUAUAUUUGCUAGUAAAGUCUUAAUUAGGACGAUUGGGGUAAUUUUGACUUGCUUUCUCUCAGUCUAUAUAUUUGCUAGUAAAGUCUUAAUCGAGACAACUGAGAUAAUUCUGUACGUAUGUAAACAACUUGCUUUCUCUCUAUCUAUAUAUUUGCUAGCAUAACGUCUUAAUUGGGACUUUAAUAUUUUCUAGCGUCUAGAAAAAUUCGUAGAUUGCUAGCAUCUAAAAAAAUUCAUAGUUGCAUACCGGUCAACGAAGUAAGAUCCAACUUUUGAGUCUUGACUAAUAGUCUCAAUUAGAAAAUACGCAUGUGCGUUGCGGCAGGAACAACUGUUUCAUGAGUAACUGCAUGAAUAAGACACAUUUAACAUGAAUAAAUUUAACACAAGCAUGAAUGAACAGAAGAACACAUGAGUGAACGAGGUCGAUAAGAUAAGCAGAACUUAUGUAAUCAUGUUAACUACAAACUGAGAAAUGACUUUCUUUCCUGCAUAAAAUUUUACUAAAGAAACAGAACUUACGUAAUCACGUUAACUACAAACUGCACUACAAAAAAUUUGAAGUAUUUCCAAAUAUGUUGAAAUCUGAAAGGAAAAAGAUGAUAAUUCUUCUGACCGCAAAAGAUUAUACAAUAAACAUAAGAUGGUGUGAUCUCAUAAAACUUAGUAUUUAGGAGAAAGGAAGAUAUAAACAUACGCAAUCCGCUUCAGACUUGCCAAAUAGAUCUCAUAAAACUCAGUAUUUAGGAGAAAGGAAGAUAAUCUUGCCAAAUAGAUCUCAUAAUAGAUCUCAUAAAAUUCAGUAUUUAGGAGAAAGGAAGAUAAUCUUGCCAAAUAGAUCUCAUAAAACUCAGUAUUUCUAAUUCGUUUUCAGACUUGCCAAAUGUAAUCUCAUAAAACUCAGCAUUUAGGAGAAAGGAAGAUAAUCUUGAAACAUAAACUUAACCAUCAAAUUCAGUUCUUAAAACCAAAAGAAAAGAUUAUGGUUUCUUAGGGCUUGUUUGGUAAUGUACUUGAAUCAAACUUUUUAAACUCAAAAAUAAUUUUCAAGUUUUAGGCCUUAAAAACUUGUUUGGUAGGACUAUUUUCAAAAACUGAACUCAAGACUAACUAAAAAAUAUAGUUUAUUAUUUAAAAACAUAAAAAGUGAGUUUUUAGAGUUUUUAAACUUAAACUCACUUCUUUCUUUUCUCUUCCUCCUCCACUCUCACUUCAAAUCUCUCUCUUUUCUUCUUUCUCUAUCCUUUUUUUUUUUAUCUUUUUCAUCUCUCAUCCAAUUCGCUCUCUUUAUUCUUUAGGUUCUUUUUCUCACUCAUCUUCCUCUUUAUCUCCUCCGAUUCUCUCUCCUUUCUUUUUCCUUAAAUCAUCUCUUACUUUCUUUCCUCCUCUCUCUCCUCUUUCUACCUCUCUUGCAACCCCCUCUUUUUAGAUCGCUUUGUUAUAGUUUAAGUCGUAAGAUUUAAAAUUUUUAAAUUAGAAACCAAUCAAGUUUUUGAGUCAUCAAAAAAACUAUUUUCAAUAAAUGUUCUUAAAAAAUGUUUUGAGAAAUGAUAAAAAUUUUCAAAUAGGAUACCAAACAAGCCCUUUGUUUCUUACCCAAAUCCACCAAUUUGAAUCAAAUUUCUGCAGCUCAGCUUGAAAUCUGUUUGAAAUGACCUCCAUGAACACGAAUCUUGUACAUGCAAAACACUUUAGAUGAAGUUGUGAGAAUGGGUGGUGAUGAAAUUGAAGAAACCACCAAAUUCCAAACAAAUUUUAGACGAUUUUAACACUCAUAAAAGUGUUUCAGAAUCCACAAGUUUAAACGAAAAACUGUAUAAAAUCAUGAAAAAUUUAAUAAAACCCAAUUAUAUGAAUCACUCUUCCCGAAAACAAGACAUUUAAUGCAGAAAGCUCAAACUAUAACAAUUGAUGAACCAAAUAUUUUCAAUUGAAUUUAUCUCUUCAAUUGGUAGGUAUUUUUGUUUAUCCUCGUAUCUUUCAAUUGCCACCCAAAACUAACAUCUGAGAGAGCCUUGCAAUUCUUAUCUUUAAAAGCAUGAAUGGUGAACUAAAUAAAAGAAUAAGAAUAUGCAAUGAACUAAAUAAAAACAGACUUUUUACAAACAUUAUUCGCACAAAAAUUAAAACUGUAUUGAGAAACUCACCAUCCCAUUUCACACAAAUGAUUUAUGAUGAUAAAACCAAUUGGUGGGUGCACUGAAAUAUAUUGACAGGCCCAUUAAAGGCACGAACAUCAUACAGUGAAUUGCACAUAAAGGACAACAUUAUCAAGUAUAUCUUGAGGUGGAAUUGGAUACGAUCAUUAUCAAGUCUUCAUCUCUGACACUAAGAGCACUCUGCAUCCUAGAAUUCCUCAUCUACCAUCAUAUAGCAGCUACUGCCGCUGAAGCAAUACCCAUGUCUGCUCAUACGCAUCGAAAAACAUAUCAUGCAUUCGUUAUACAUUUCUCUAUUAAUUAAUUAGCUAACUGAAUUUAAAAUUAGCUUCCAAACCAAAAAAGUUCUAAACUUUUAAUUUUGCAAUCACAUUCAGUUCUUCAUCUCUUACUCUAAAUCCCAAUUACAGAAAUAUCUAAACUUUACUUCAAUUUAAUAUUGUUUUCCCCAAAAACAGCACAAUCCCACAAAAAUAAAGUAAAAAAAAAAAACAACAACAAUAUACCAUGAAUUAAAUUAAAAUUCUCACCUCCACCUCCGGCAGAGCUUUCGCAUUCUCAACCUGUUGCAUUAAAAAAUAAAAAAUAAAAAAUAAAAAAUCAAAUCAAAUCAAAUUCAAGUAAAAAUAAAAAAGAGAACUUGAAUAUAGCAACCCUACUCCCCCUCUUUCUCCCUCUCUAGCUCUCCCUCUGCAAUUCACACGUGCACCCCCUCCCUCUGUAACCCUCCCCGUGAAACCCCUAAACCCCAUGCGUAGGCCCCAUAUCUUCUGGCUGUGACCUCAUGAAUAGUCCCCAUCACCUCGAUUCCAUCGAACCAUGGCCUCGGUCAAAUCGAAACCAACCAGAGCCCACUCCCCAUACCCCUACCACCCUCCCCAGUAUCACACCCCUGUGAUCUUCACCUUCAAUCUGUCCCAGGGAUUGGAUCUCCGAAAUAUUCUAUUCAUGAAGUACUUGAUAAAGAAACCCACUUUAGUUGGAUCAGUGAUCCCAGCGACUAUUAAAUUUUCAUAGUUUCCAGUGGCAACAUGCAUCCAUAGUUGGGGUUGUCACUUGAAAGCACCUGAGAAAUGAGACUUUAAUUUAUACGAUGAAACAUAUUAAACAGAUAGUGAGCACAGUAUAUAAAGUGAAACGAAAAAAAAAAGCCUUCUCACUGACAAUGCCUUUUCAGGUCAGAUAAAUGACUCAGAACUUGGAAGUAAAAUAUGGAAAUCACAACCCAAAACAUAGAUUAACAAAUGCUAUCAUUUCAGAUUUUCACAUACAAUAUAGCAGAUAAGGAAGAGUAAAGAAAAUUUGAGAGAAAUUCAAACAGAAUAAGGAUAACCACCUAUGCAUAGACUUACCAUUAUCACCAAUAAUAUUCCACAAAAGAUAUAUAUAUAUAUAUUUGGUGACAAUCAUACAUUUGAUUCCCACAAUAUUUCAUGUUUUGCAUCAAAAUUAGAAAUUAAAAAAAAAAAAACACAGAAGAAAAGGGCACCUCUUACUUUCCCUGCAGCUGCUUUUCAAAAGGCAAAAUGCUUUAGAUCCUAAAUACCAAGCAAAUAUAGAAGCGAUUCAACAAUUAUCAAAGAAAAUCAACCAUGCAAGGAACAAAACUUAAAAACUAAACAAUUAUCAAAACUUGUGAAGAACGCUAAAUCCAACUAAUUCGAAACAUAAAAGUAACCUGAAAGAGAUAAAACUUAUAAAUUCUAGGGGCUUUUAGAUCCAGGUCCAAAAACAUAGAGAGUUUUUAGGAGUGAGUCCAGUUAAUAAAUUAUAUGUUUUUAUUUCUUUUAUACUCAUUUUAUAUUUUCUAAAAAUAUUAAAAAUCAAUUAAAAUCUUUUAAUAUUAUGCAUUUUUCAACUUCAAAAUAUCUAAUUAAUAUCUUAUAACAAAAAAAAUUGAUAUACUAACAUAAAUCUAUCUACAAAACAUUCUACCCUAACUCAAGUAGCAAAUAUAUGAUUGUAUAUUAUACCUAUAAGUGAGAUAUGAAACCUAACUAAAAGGUAGAAAAAAACAUAAUAUACCUACAAGCAAGACACAUUAAUCUGUGACAGGUUGACUAUGAAAAAGAAUCUGUCAUAUAGGUAGAUAAAUACAAUUAACCUGUGAUAUAGGUUGACUAUAAAAAUUAAAAUAAAAUCUAUAAAUGGGUUAAAGCACGAGAAAGAACAUGAAAUAACAAAUAAAUAAAUAAAAAGAAAUAAUCAAAGAGAUAAUUAGGAAGAAAUUUGAUUUUUACAAUAAAUUUUUUCAUUUAAGAGAUAAUUAUUGAUAAUAAAAUAAUUAAAUUUAAAGAAUUGGACCUAUUCUAAUAAACUGAACUAUUCCUACUAUUGGCUCAAAAAAUUGGAGUUAUAUCAAGUUUCCCCUAAAUUCUAUAUCAAUUAUAAUCCUUUAGAGAAAAUCUCCAAUAUCCAUUAUCCAAUUAACCUAAUUGUAUUAAAAACCUAGCAAAUCUCCAUUCAAUUAAGCAAAUUUUGCAGUAAAUUAUCCAUUUUUCACAAUAAAGCAAUAAAAAGAUCAUGAGCAAGUAAAUCUGGACCACUACGAUCAAAAUUCCAGCAAUCAAUAACCAUGAUUAUAAAUUUUGACAAACUUACAGUUGCUACAGCAUUUGACAAUCAACAACAACAAUAACAAAGCCUUUUCCCACUAAGUGGGGUCAGCUAUAUGAAUCCUAGAACGCCAUUGCGCUCGGUUUUGUGUCAUGUCCUCUGUUAGAUCCAAGUACUCUAAGUCUUUUCUUAGAGUCUCUUCCAAAGUUUUCCUAGGUCUUCCUCUACCCAUUCGGCCCUGAAUCUCUGUCAUGUAGUCACAUCUUCGAACCGGAGCGUCAGUCGGCCUUCUUUGCACAUGUCCAAAUCACCGGAGCCGAUUUUCUCUCAUCUUUCCUACAAUUUCGGCUACUCCUACUUUACCUCGGAUAUCCUCAUUCCCAAUCUUAUCCUUUCUCGUGUGCCCACACAUCCCACGAAGCAUCCUCAUCUCCGCUACACCCAUUUUGUGUACGUGUUGAUACUUCACCGCCCAACAUUCUGUGCCAUACAACAUCGCUGGCCUUAUUGCCGUCCUAUAAAAUUUUCCCUUGAGCUUCAGUGGCCUACGACGGUCACACAACACGCCGGAUGCACUCUUACACUUCAUCCAUCCAGCUCGUAUUCUAUGGUUGAGAUCUCCAUCUAAUUCUCCGUUCUCUUGCAAGAUAGAUCCUAGGUAGCGAAAACGGUCGCUUUUUGUGAUCUUCGCUAGAUUGCUCCGGUCAUUAGUGUGGAUAAGUAUAUAAAUGGAUAGAGAUAGGAAAGCAAACACAAGAUGUACAUGGUUCACCCAGAUUGGUUACGUCCACGGAAUAGAAGAGUUCUCAUUAAUUGUGAAGGGUUUACACAAAUACAUAGGUUCAAGCUCUCAUUUAGUGAGUACAAGUGAAUGAUUUAGUACAAAUGACAUUAGGAAAUAUUGUGGGAGAAUGAUCUCGUAAUCACGAAACUUCUAAGUAUCAGAGUGUGGUGUCGUCUUGACUUGCCUUAUCUGUCUCAUAGGUAGAUGUGGCAUCUUCUCUGGAAGUACUCUUCCUCCAUCCAGGGGUGGUAUCUUUAACUGAUGGAGAUGCACAAGGUAAUGUAUCAAUUUCACUUGAAGCUUACUUGUAGUUUCAGGCUUGGUCAAGCGCGAUACAAACCAUGUAGUAGGAGUUCCCCAAGUCGCCGAGCUAGGGGGUCUGCUGAAAGAGGUGACAUACAAGGUAAGCAAUCAGAGCUCCGACUGAUUGUUCACCUUCUCCCCAUCUUGCAGCAGCAUGAAGGAUAAAGAGAAGAAAAAUUAGAAGAGAUGAUAUGAGAUACUUUUGCUUUUGAAGAAGUAACUUUCCACAGGCUUAUUCUUGAACUGAGCUGGAGGGUUUUCUGGUUUCCUCCAGAGUAUAAGGCCGACUGAAGAAUUUGAGGGUCAAAACAAGUCCAUCAAAUCUAGAGUACGUUCCACCCUACUGAUAUGGAAUACUUUUGCUUUUGACAGAGUAAUGGAUGUAUCGGCAUGUGUGCUGUUACGCUUGUCUCCACAUGCUUCCUUGUAUCCUUCGCACUUGCCCUAUCUGUUCCUCAAGCAGAUGCGGAAUCUUCCCUGGAAACAUAAGAUGUUGAAGAUGAGUACUCGAGAGCAAUGCCAGGUAAGUAAUCAGGUAAGGGGUUCCAGGCAGUCAGUUCCUGGCUGGAAGCUUGAUUCCAAGUGCUGACUGAUUGCUCUCUUUCUCCUUGUCUUGCAGGUAAAAACAAGGCCAAAGGAAAAGACAGGGAAAAAGCAUGAUAUGAGAUACUCUUGCUUUUAACCCUGAUGAUAUGAGAUAUUCUUGCUCUAGUAUAGCUUGUUUGCAGAGGUAUUAUCGGGGGGAAAGAAAGCUGAAUAUUUCGAAAGGCUUCGUUGGGAGUGCCCUCUCAGAUAUGAUGAAGGGUUGAGCAUUUUUGCAGGUCUGCCUGUCCGUUGGGGAUGGAGGUCGACAUAUAUAGGAGUCUCCCUAACAACAAGUAGUAAUGCUAUUCCUUUACCCUGCUUGGUCAUAGCACGGUAGUGGGAGCUGCCAGUUUCACAUGUUUUAACUCUGUCAGAGCACUUUGAAAAAGUGGUCUGUGGUAUCUGGCUCUCGAGAUUCGGAGAACGAUGCCUCUUCGAUUUUUGAGAAAGCAAUCAUGCUGGGGGUCUGGCUCUCGAGAGCAGUGUCUCUUCGAUUUUUGAGGAAGUAAUCAUGUUGGGAGUCUGGCUCUCGAGAUUCGGAGGGCGGUGCCUCUUCGAUUUUGGAGCAAGCAAUCUUGUUGGGAGUGUUGUCUCGAAUGUGAGUAAAGGUUGGGCAUGUUUGCUAGUCUACCUUGCCACGAAGCACAAAGGUUGACACACAGGGACUUUCCAAUUAUCCAGCAAUGGUACUGUUCCUUUACCCUCUCUUCGAUUUUGAGAAAGUAGUUAUGUUGGGAGUCUGGCUCUCGAGAUUCGGAGGACGGUGCCUCUUCGAUUUUGGAGCAAGCAAUCUUGUUGGGAGUGUUUUCUCGAAUGUGAGUAAAGGUUGGGCAUGUUUGCUAGUCUACCUUGCCACGAAGCACAGAGGUUGACACACAGGGACUUUCCAAUUAUCCAGCAGUGGUAUUGUUCCUUUACCUUUGUGGGUAAUAAUAUGGUAGCUAGACCUUCAAAAUUUAUGUGUCUAAACUUUGUUAGUGCUGUUUCUUUGCUAUUCUUUUACCUUUCUUGGUCAGAGCGAUGUAGUGGGAGCUGCAAGCUUCACGUGCUCAACUUUGGCAGAGAACUUUGGCAAAGUUAUCUGUGGUACCCAUGAGCUAUUGUUGCGUGUGGGAAGUGGGUGAUUGAACAGUAAGAUUCAUGUGCUUUCUACUUCACAAGAAGUCUUCGACAGAAUGCCCAUAAUUUCUGCAAAGCUGAGUGUGCGUGUGACAGGUGCUGAUAAGGCUAGAAAAGUAGGUGCCUCUUCGAUUUCUGAGAUCGGCCUUUGUGGUCUCUGAGCAGCCCAGCUUUUGAGAAAGCGAGCGCCUCUUCGAUUGAUUCGGAGAACGAUGCCUCAUCGAUUUUUGAGAAAGCAAUCAUGCUGGGGGUCUGGCUCUCGAGAUUCGGGGAGCAGUCUCUUCGAUUUUUGAGAAAGUAAUCAUGUUGGGAGUCUGGCUCUCGAGAUUCGGAGGGCGGUGCCUCUUCGAUUUUGGAGCAAGCAAUCUUGUUGGGAGUGUUUUCUCGAAUGUGAGUAAAGGUUGGGCAUGUUUGCUAGUCUACCUUGCCACGAAGCACAGAGGUUGACACACAGGGACUUUCCAAUUAUCCAGCAAUGGUACUGUUCCUUUACCCUCUCUUCGAUUUUUAAGAAAGUAGUCAUGUUGGGAGUCUGGCUCUCGAGAUUCGGAGGACGGUGCCUCUUCGAUUUUGGAGCAAACAAUCUUAUUGGGAGUGUUUUCUCGAAUGUGAGUAAAGGUUGGGCAUGUUUGCUAGUCUACCUUGCCACGAAGCACAGAGGUUGACACACAGGAACUUUCCAAUUAUCCAGCAGUGGUACUGUUCCUUUACCCUUGUGGGUAAUAAUAUGGUAGCUAGACCUUCAAAAUUUAUAGGUCUAAACUUUGUUAGUGCUGUUUCUUUGCUAUUCUUUUACCCUUCUUGGUCAGAGCGAUGUAGUGGGAGCUGCAAGCUUCACGUGCUCAACUUUGGCAGAGAACUUUGGCAAAGUUAUCUGUGUGUUUUCUACUUCCCCAGAAGUCUUCGACAGAAUGCCCAUAAUUUCCGCAAAGCUGAGUGUGCGUGUGACAGGUGCUGACAAGGCUGGAAAAGUAGGUGCCUCUUCGAUUUCUGAGAUCGGCCCUCGUGGUCUCUGGGGAGCCCAGCUUUUGAGAAAGCGAGCGCCUCUUCGAUUUCUGAGAUCAGCCUUCGUGGUCUUUGAGCAGCCCAACUUUUGAGAAAGCAAACGCCUCUUCGAUUUCUGAGAUCAACCCUCGUGAUCUCUAAGCAGCCCAGUUUUUGAGAAAGCAAACGCCUCUUCGAUUUCUGAGCAGGCGCCUCUUCGAUUUCUGAAGCUCCGUCGAGUGCAGAUUUUUAUAGGGGCUGGCAUUAAGUUCCAAAGCACACACUUGAAUCUCCACCAGUAGAAGCUUCAUUCUUGCACUUCUAAGAUCUUGAUUUGUCCGACCUUUUCUCUCUUCAACACCUUUGAAAAUGUCUGGCCCCUCCGACCGUCGUUUUGACUUGAACCUUGUUGAAGAGGCAGCCCCGCCUUCUCCAGACAACAUAUGGCGCCCAUCCAUUCGUCUCCCCUACUGGUCCUCUUACCGUUGGGGAUUCCGUGAUGAAGAAUGAUAUGACCGCUGCGGUGGUGGCCAGGAACCUUCUCACUCCCAAAGAUAACAGACUACUUUCCAAACGGUCUGAUGAGUUAGCUGUUAAGGAUUCGCUGGCUCUCAGUGUUCAGUGUGCAGGUUCUGUGUCUAAUAUGGCCCAACGCCUAUUUGCUCGAACCCGCCAAGUUGAAUCAUUGGCGGCUGAAGUGAUGAGUCUUAAACAGGAGAUUAGAGGGCUCAAGCAUGAGAAUAAACAGUUGCACCGGCUCGCACAUGACUAUGCUACAAACAUGAAGAGGAAGCUUGACCAGAUGAAGGAAACUGAUGGUCAGGUUUUACUUGAUCAUCAGAGAUUUGUGGGUUUGUUCCAAAGGCAUUUAUUGCCUUCGUCUUCUGGGGCUGUACCGCGUAAUGAAGCUCCAAAUGAUCAACCUCUGAUGCCUCCUCCUUCUAGGGUUCUGUCCAGUACUGAGGCUCCAAAUGAUCCCCCUCCGGUGCCUUCUCUUUCUGGGGCUCUACCGACUGCUGAGACUUCUCCUAAGCAACCUUUGUGAAGGCUCCCUCUUGUGUGUUUAUUUUGACUCAUGUAUAUGUACAUAUUUGUAGCUUAUCGGGGAUAUCAAUAAAUAAGCUUUCCUUCAUUUCAACGUAUAUUGUGUUAAAUACACCAAAGCCUUCUUCGCUAAGUUCUUUGAAUUUUCUUUUGUUGAAGCUUGUAUGUUGAAGCUUUCUGAGUGGAGCAUGUAGGUUGGGGUAGUGUUCCCUUAAUUUCCCGAGUGAGGAAAACUUCUCGGUUGGAGACUUGGAAAAUCCAAGUCACUGAGUGGGAUCGGCUAUAUGAAUCUUAGAACGCCAUUGUGCUCGAUCUUGUGUCAUGUCCUUCGUUAGAUCCAAGUACUCUAAGUCUUUUCUUAGAGUCUCUUCCAAAGUUUUCCUAGGUCUUCCUCUACCCCUUCGGCCCUGAACCUCUGUCCCAUAGUCGCAUCUUCUAAUCGGAGCGUCAGUAGGCCUUCUUUGCACAUGUCCAAACCACCGUAACCGAUUUUCUCUCUCAUCUUUCCUUCAAUUUCGGCUACUCCUACUUUACCCCGGAUAUCCUCAUUCCUAAUCUUGAUCCUUUCUCGUGUGCCCCACACAUCCAACGAAGCAUCCUCAUCUCCGCUACACCCAUUUUGUGUACGUGUUGAUGUUUCACCGCCCAACAUUCUGUGCCAUACAGCAUCGCCGGCCUUAUUGCCGUCCUAUAAAAUUUUCCCUUGAGCUUCAGUGGCAUACGGCGGUCACACACAACACGCCGGAAUGCACUCUUGCACUUCAUCCAUCCUAGCUUGUAUUCUAUGGUUGAGAUCUCCAUCUAAUUCUCCGUUCUUUUGCAAGAUAGAUAGAUCAUAGGUAACGAAAACGGUCGCUCUUUGGUAUUAUUUCUUGAUCUCCGAUCCUCACCCCUAACUCGUUUUGACCUCUAUUUGCACUGAACUUGCACUCCAUAUAUUCUGUCUUUGAUCGGCUUAUGCGAAGACCUUUAGAUUCCAACACUUCUCUCCAAAGGUUAAGCUUUGCAUUUACCCCUUCCUGAGUUUCAUCUAUCUAUCAACACUAUAUCGUCUGCGAAAAGCAUACACCAAGGAAUAUCAUCUUGAAUAUGUCCUGUUAACUCAUCCAUUACCAACGCAAAAAGGUAAGGACUUAAGGAUGAGCCUUGAUGUAAUCCUACAGUUAUGGGAAAGCUUUCGGUUUGUCCUUCAUGAGUUCUUACGGCAGUCUUUGCUCCUUCAUACAUAUCCUUUAUAGCUUGGAUAUAUGCUACUCGUACUCCUUUCUUCUCUAAAAUCCUCCAAAGAAUGUCUCUUGGGACCCUAUCAUACGCUUUUUCCAAAUCUAUAAAGACCAUGUGUAAAUCAUUUUUCCAAUUUCUAUAUCUUUCCAUCAAUCUUCGUAAGAGAUAGAUUGCCUCCAUGGUUGAGCCCUGGCAUGAACCCGAAUUGGUUGUCCGAAACCCGUGUCUCUUGCCUCAAUCUAUGCUCAAUGACUCUCUCCCAGAGCUUCAUUGUAUGACUCAUUAGCUUAAUACCCCUAUAGUUCAUGCAAUUUUGUACGUCGUCCUUAUUCUUGUAGAUAGGCACCAAAGUGCUCGUUCGCCACUCAUUUGGCAUCUUCUUCGUUUUCAAAAUCCUAUUGAAAAGGUCAGUGAGCCAUGUUAUACCUGUCUCUCCCAAAAGUUUCCACACUUCGAUUGGUAUAUCGUCUGGGCCUAUUGCUUUUUUAUGCUUCAUCUUCUUCAAAGCUACAACCACUUCUUCCUUCCGGAUUCGACGAUAAAAAGAGUAGUUUCAACACUCUUCUGAGUUACUCAACUCCCCUAAAGAAGCACUCAUUUCAUGUCCUUCAUUGAAAAGAUUAUGAAAAUAACCUCUCCAUCUGUCUUUAACCGCGUUCUCUGUAGCAAGAACCUUUCUAUCCUCAUCCUUGAUGCACCUCACUUGGUUUAGGUCCCUUGUCUUCUUUUCCCUUGCUCUAGAUAGUUUAUAGAUAUCCAACUCUCAUUCUUUGGUAUCUAGUCGUUUAUACAUAUCGUCGUAAGCCGCUAACUUAGCUUCUCUGACAGCUUUCUUCGCCUCUUGCUUCGCUUUUCUAUACCUUUCACCAUUUUCAUCGGUCCUCUCCUUGUAUAAGGCUUUACAACAUUCCUUCUUAGCCUUCACCUUUGUUUGUACCUCCUCAUUCCACCACCAAGAUUCCUUUUGGUGUGGGGCAAAGCCCUUGGACUCUCCUAAUACCUCUUUUGCUACUUUUCGGAUACAACUAGCCAUGGAAUCCCACAUUUGGCUAGCUUCCCCCUCUCUAUCCCACACACAUUGGGUGAUUACCUUCUCUUUGAAAAUGGCUUGUUUUUCUUCUUUUAGAUUCCACCAUCUAGUCCUUGGGCACUUCCAAGUCUUGUUCUUUUGUCUUACUCUUUUGAUAUGUACAUCCAUCACCAACAAGCGAUGUUGAUUAGCCACGCUCUCUCCUGGUAUAACUUUGCAAUCCUUACAAGUUAUACGAUCCACUUUCCUCAUUAGAAGAAAAUCUAUUUGUGUUUUUGACGACCCACUCUUGUAGGUGAUCACAUGUUCUUCUCUCUUCUUAAAGAAGGUGUUGGCUAAGAAGAUAUCAUAUGCCAUUGCAAAAUCCAAGAUAGCUUCCCCAUCCUCGUUUCUCUCCCCAAAACCAUGGCCACCAUGAAAACCUCCAUAGUUGCCUGUCUCCCUGCCCACGUGUCCAUUUAAAUCUCCUCCUAUAAAUAACUUCACCGUCUGAGCAAUUCCUUGCACCAAGUCUCCAAGAUCUUUCCUGGAGCCGCAGAUGUUCUAUCAAAAAAAUGAGUAAUCGAAUUAGUUGAUUAAAUUUACAGAAGAAGAGAGAGAAGAGGGGAAUGGAGGAGAACAGCAGAAGGAGAUGAAAUCAGAUUCAGAGUUUGAGAGUCAAUUGCUGAAUUUAGAUGAACUGACCUUUUCGAUCACAUACAGUCAAACUGGAAUGCACAGGGAGAAGCAGAAGAAGAAAAAGAAGAUGGAGAGGGGGUGGUCAAUAGCUUAUCGAGGUCGGAGUUGACAAAAAUCAACAAAGCCAUGCGCGAUUUCGUCGUUGUGAGCUGUGAGAGAGAAUACGAUGGUCACAUGACUCAAUGUGACAUCCAGAAAACUUAGUACUACAACACUAAACUUAAAAGGAAAAGUACAGAAGAAUCGAAACCAUUAUAAUUCCUUACAUGAUACUGAAUGUCUGUUAGUUAGAAGAGCCCAAGAAGCAAUUGUUCCAUCUGCUAGCAAUCGGCAUAUCCCAGAUCCAUCUGCCAAAGAUAUACACCAAAUUAGAUGGAAACACAAAAGAGUAAAUUGGUGGGGCUAGCCAGCCUUCAUUCUAGAGGCGGUUUAGCGGCUCACUACUAAUUAACAUUGCCAACAUUCAUUUCUUUUUGUAUUUCAUUUAGUUAAACUUCCGACAUGGGAUUUUAACAUUCUCCAGCCCCAAUAGCAUCAAUCAACACAAUACCACAAACCCAAAACUGUGCAUAAAAGAACAGAAAUCAAUGACUGAUUACAAAUUAACAUGAGGGCAGUAAAAGCUAAUAAUGCAGGUUGAUUUCCACAUUGUUAGCAUGAUAAAUAUUGUCAUUGCACACUUGUGCACCAGUUAAAGCAGGAUAUUAUGUCUUUCUUGUAUCAUCCACUCUCUUGCUAGUCCUAGUUUUUUUGCGCAUUGCAGUUAUAAAUUAACAUUGCCAAGCAAUAAAUUGAUAAAAAGGAAGGGGGAAGAUACAACCAAGCCACCUAUAGACCAACCAAGCAAAACCUGAUGCAAACAAAUAUACAAAUAAGCAAACUUCAAAAGAUACAAUAGCAAAAAACCAAACACAUAUAACCAGAAUCUAAGAACAUUUUAAUGACAAAAAAGAAAACUGACCUUUUGCGUGGAGGCAAUGAGAAAAUAUAGAGAAGCAGACCAACUAUUUGAAAAGGUAAAAACAAAAGACUGAAAUCAAACAAUGAUAUAUCGAUCACCAAAAUAAAUGUACAAUAUCUUUCAAAUUUGAUGAUAAAUUUACAUGCAAUAAGUCGCAUUAUCACUCGUACAACUAACAUACUUCCUAUAUUAGACCACACAACACAUGCACCAUAAUCACUUCAUUGGUGCUCUGCCUCAUUUGCAAAUGUAGUUUUAUCUCCACUGAGUUUCUACAUGCAUGGGAACAUAUGUUUUUCUUGUUAAUUUGAAUAGAUUAUAAACUGUUUAACUAAUUUCUGGGAUUCAUAUCUGUAAUAUCAAACUAUAUCAGUUGGAUUUUAAUGGUAAGUAAAACAGUUGUAUAAUGAACAAACAAUGAAAGAAGGAAGCCAAAUAAUGACAAUGAAAAGAAGAGAAUUCCAACACAUUGAGAAUAUUAGUUUUAGAUUUUGAGAACAGAUUUAUUCCAUUACCUUUUACCUUUCCUCUCUUUUAGCAACAGACAAUAGUCAUUAAAUUUCUUCUCAUGGCGUGUGUGCUGUGAGCUUGGCGAAGCCAUGUGACCUUAAUUUCUUUUCUUUUUUUUGGGAAAAAAUUAUACAAAUGGUACGGUUUCAACUGUACAUGUUUAACCUCAGUGUUUUUCAAUUUCAGUUUUACCUUUACCAUCCAUUUAUUUUCCUAUCCAAAAUGUUUAGAAAAAUAAAUCUAUAGCUGCUAACAGUCUAUAUGCUUCAUGCUGUCAGACUCUGCAAUCUAAAAAUUCAUGUAAAUGCAGAGGUUUGGCUGAAGGAGAGGCAUCGAAGACAUCCAGAAAUCCUUCCAUGGCAAACUUAGUUGUACACCCAUGGCGUGUGUGUUGUAUGCUAGAUGCCCCCUCUCUUUUAACAACACACAAUAGCUUAUGCAAAUGCAAAGAGACUUCAACAUGUUUCAUUUAAAAUAAGUUUACAUUUUGUAGCAAAUGCAUAUGGCGAAAUAGUCUAUAAGUAAUCAUACUGGCAACCAAACAGAACAGUUCAAAAACUUCAAUGGAAAUAUAAAUUGCAGAAAAAAAAAACUUGAAUUUCCAAACCCACAAAAUAAAAAAUUCAACCAGGUUAAAUGUGUAAGAAGAAAUACCAAGAACUGAGAGCUGCAGACAAUCAAAAUGCUCAUGAUCUUGGUCAAGCUGAUGAAAUCCAAAUAUGUACUUUCAUGUCCUCCUCCUUGGUCAAUUCCUUGAGAAGCUUCGAUAUCGCCAACAAUGUCUCCUCUUCGUGGCCGUGGCCAUGGUCGUGCCAACUGCCAUGGAUCUUUCUCCUUCUAACCAGACACCACUUCAACCCUUUCUCCUUUCAAACUUACCUUUCAUCAUCUGCAUUAACAGAAACAAUAACUUUUGUCAGUGCAUUCAAACCAAACCCAUAAAUCAACUGCAAAUCACAAAUUUACCCAAAAAAAUCCCGCAAAGACCCAAACUCCCCGAAAAUUACCAUAUUAGCACUCCCUCCACCCCAAAAUCAGAAAAUUAGAAAACAGAAUAUGAAACAUUGUACGUAGAAAGCAAGGAAUCGAUAAUUUAGGAGGUUUCCCAGGACAAGAAUGAGCUUUUAAAUAUCAUAUUCCCAUAUGGAUGCACAAAUACAGAGAGACUACAGAGACCAUUUGAUGAAAAAAAAUAGAGACGCUCAGAGACUCAACAGACACUAUUCAUAGAUCCAUGACUUAGAAUUUCUCAGAUCCGGUUGAAAUUAAUAAAAAAAAAAUUAGGGAUGUGAAUUUAUACCUCUGAUAGUCUGAGCUCCGUUCCCCUUAUUCCUUUGCCGGCUUGGGGCAAACUUGAGGAGAUCGGUGAUUAGGGGAUACGAAUUCAAAAUAAAAUUUUCUAGUAGUAAUCGUCGCUGCUGCAGUAGUCAUCGUCCUCGGAUUCCAUCGUUGUCUGACCACAAAAACCUAACGGCGGCUGGAGAACCACAGAACAACCAAGAGUAAAAAAGGGAGUGCGGGAGAGAGAAGCAGCCAAAAUACAGAGAAGAUGGCAAGAGAAAGGAGAAAUGGAAAGCAGACAAACAAAAAGUAACAUGGGUGCUAGCCAAUUUCCCAAACCCCACUUCUGCUAAAGCUACAUGCUAUUGAUUAUGAUUAAAAACUAAAUUAAUCAUACCAUUAAUCGCUAAUAAAUAAUGGGUUAUGUUUGUUUUCAUGAAUUCAGGCUCAAAAUACGAACUAUAAAUCCAAAAUUUGAAAUUUAAUUGCUUUAUCUCCUUACCCGAUAGAGCCAGACGAUUACUGAUCACUAAGCAUCCAAUUCUUGAAAACUACCGAAAUCAAAACAACAACUUCCACUCAAUUUCUGAGCAACAGAAAGAUCAAGCCAAAUCAAAACCAACAACUUUCAACUAAAUUGCACAAAAGAGUCAAAAUUUAAUUGCUAUACAGAACUAUCGGUUCAAUUGAAAACAAUUAGAAUUCGAGAACCUACCUCCUCCAUUCUCUGAGAGCGAAGCCCUCCUCAGGCAGCAUCUCCGAUGGAGCCGCCAAAAUCGGAUCGUCGGACCCGCCAAACCCUCCAUCAAAGCCCCGGCCGUUCGAUUCAGCGUAGAUCAACGGAGGAGAGAAGGCCUGCGAUGCCGGCUGAGUGACGAAAGCGUUGUCUACAGCAGAGCUGUGGAAGAUUGGGGAAUCGGUGGCGGAGUCCUUGAGCGACUCAGAGUCGACAAAGGAGUCGAAUAGCUGGGAGGAGAGUUGGGGGUCGUAGCCCAGGUAACCGUUGUGCAGGUGUGUUGAGGGUUCUUGAGUUAAUUGAAAAAUUAAACUUGCAACUGCUUUACAAACCUGAGAGUCAGUAACUGGUAAAACAUGAGCUUGUACUGGCGAAAGCCAUAAUGGAAAAUCCCCGGCAUAAUGCUCUCUAAGGACCCCAAAAAAUCGCUUCAAUGACCCAAGAACAGCUCUAUGAAUCAUGAUAGGCCGCUUCUUUUCAGAGUUUGAGUCAGCAUAUGUUAAGUCAAAACGCUGUGGUCGGUUAAAAUCAACCUGUACAAUUUGGGAAAUACAAAAGAUCAAACAAUUUAAAAUAACAAUAAUAAGUGGCUUUAGUCUAUCAAACAAAUCCAUGUAAUUCGCUCAAUUCAAAAAAGAUGCUCAAAUCUCCAAUGAACAUUUUACAAAGUGACACAGAGAUAGACGGAGAGACUACCAAUUAAAAAACAAAGCACACAUUAGAAUUAUCCCGUCAUGAGUUUAGGAUUAACCUGUAUAGUUGAGCACUGCCACUUCCUUCCAAGGGCAUCCUCCACUUAAGAUCAAUCCUUGGACCAUAAAAGGCACCACCACCUUCAUCAAUUGGAUAGCUCCAACCUUUAUCAUCCAAAGCAUCUCUAAGGGCAGAUGUUGCUUUCACGGUUUCACCCAUAUAUCAUCAUCUCCAACAGCUUUCUCUCGCCUCGUAGAGAGAUUGACCUCAUAUUUGCUGAAGCCGAAUUGCAACAAAAGUUCUUCGGUAAGAUCUAGGACACCCCUAAUUUCAUCUUUGAUCUGAUCUUCUGGACAAAAUAUAUGGGCAUCAUCCUGCAACAGGUCCCGAGAUUAUAAACUAACAGUUUGCAAAUACUAACACCAUACCUGAGUAAAACCUCUUACAUGAAAAAGACCAUGCAAGCUUCCAGAUAAUUCGUAUCUAUAUACGGCUCCCAACUCAGCAACUCGAAUAGGAAAUUCAUGAUAUGAGUGAGGCUUCCUUUUGUAAACCAAGAUAUGAUAGGGGCAGUUCAUCGGUCGAAGCUGAUAAAGUUCAUCCUCAACAUUCAUUUGAUCAUACAUAUUCUCCUUGUAGUAAUCCAGAUGACCACUUAUCUGCCAAAGGUUCGCCUUUGCAACAUGUGGAGUAUACAGCAGAUCGUAACCACGUUCUAUGUGGAUCUUUUUCCACAAAUCUUCCAUUACAUGCCUCACAAUAGUACCCUUUGGAUGCGAGAACACUAAACCCCCACCAGCAUCAUUCUGUGAAAAUUCAACAAUGAAAAUGUUCAAUGCAAGAAUCCUCAUAAUUACAAAUAAUGGGAUUGCUAACUGAUAAAUCUGCGUAAACAGCAGAAAGAGAUUCAGGGCAAUUCUGAGUACCUGUAUAGAAAACAGGUCAAGAACUUGACCAAGGCGCCUGUGAUCUCGACGUUUAGCUUUCUCAUUGAAAUGCCUUCAAUUGAUCUUCACUCUCCCAUGCAGUGCCAAAGAUCCUCUGCAGCAUCGGUUUCUUUUCAUCUCCUCUCCAGUAGGCACCAGCAAUAGACUCAAGUUAGACAACUUUUCUGUUAAUACUUCCAGUUUUUUCAACAUGGGGCCCCGCACAUAGGUCCCACCAUUCAUCACCUAUGAAGAAUUCGGCAUACUAUGAAUGUGUGGGAUUUGAUCGAAUAGGACAUGGAAAAAUGGGUGUACAGCAGUAGAUAUGCUGCGAAAAUUUUCGUCCUGCUUUUGGGAAUGUGAGAAGAUACAUGGGUUUCUAUAUUUUGAUAAGGUGUUGAGGUCGAGCUAUGUUCAUUUUUUUUCUGAAUUUCCUUGUAGUUUGGUAUUAAUGGCGCCUUUUUUUUUUGGAAGACGGGAUUAUAUAUCAUCCGGGCAAAGAUGUCAAAGGAAUACAAGGAGGCAAACAACCAAUACAAGGAAAGGGUAGAGCAAGGAGGUAACAAGAACUAAGACACCGCACCUAGUGCUACAGCGUCCUUCCUCGCACUACCAACACAAUUAAUGCGGACAGGGAAGUCCGUCAUUACACAAAACAUGAACAAGGGAGGAUGGGGGUCUAUCGACCCACGUAAAAUCACAUACCUCCUUACAACGCCGCGAAGCCAAAAGGUCCGCUGCCACAUUGGUCGACCUUGGAACCCAAGACCAGCGGCAAUCUUGAAAGCCACUUCCCAUAAUACUACAUCUCGCAAUAAUCGGGAAGGCUUCCCAGCUGCCCUUCCUUGUUGCGUCCUUCAAACAAGAAAUAGACUCCAGAGAAUCAGACUCCACCAUUAUCAAGUUCCACCCUCUGUUCAUACCCAGCUUACAUCUAUGCAAGAUAGCUUUCGCCUCCAUCAAUGCCACGCUUGUGGCUUUCUCUUUGAACCUGCAGGCAGCCAAGAACCUGCCCUCCUCAUCUCGAGCCACAGCUCCCGUAAAAUCCAGGCCGUCCGAUGCGCACCAGCUGGCAUCCACGUUAAUCUUCACGAAACCCCCACUUGGAGGAGACCAACCAGCGGCAAAGCUAGAUUCCAUAGGAAUGGCAACCUCGGGGUUGGGUUGGAUUGACCAGGCAUCCCUGAACGUUGUUGUCGAGUGAGAAAUAGCGGCAAGAACCUGUGAAGUUUUCCCUCACCAAAUCCCACACAGCCGGCGAUCCUACACAGCGAUUAUCAACGUGUGGAUGGCAAAAUCGAAAAGUCCAAUUUGAACGGAAAUUCCAGCCCAAAGACCCAAAACCCUUUCUGAAGCCCAGAGGCAAUUUGCAAAUAACGUUAAAUCAGGGGGCAGAGAGACUCAGUGGCAAUUUCGUAAAUAAACUGAAAUAUACCCCAAGAUUGCACAGUGCCACCUCCCCCUACUUUAGACUAAAGUAAUUAUAAUUUUCUGACAGACAAAAUUCAUAUUACAUAAUUUUUCAUUUUUUUUCAAAUAUUAUAUAGAAAUGUAUAUGGCUACAACUUUUUAUCUAAUUAUUUGUUAUUUUUGGAUUAAUUUGCAAUUUUAGGUUUAUAUGUUACUGAUUUUGUUUGUCUAUCUCUAAAAUUCAUCUUCACUCCCUAACAAAAAAAAAACACUAUCUUAAUUUAAGAAUAACAGAUGUCGAAGAAAACAUACAAAAUCACAAUAAAACAAUUAGCAUUUAAAUAGGAAAAGAAGGAAAAGAAGGAUUCCGAUAUUUAUUUCAUUCCCUAAGAAAAGCUUCAAGGUAAAAAAUCACCGAAUUUUAAAGCUGAAUCCGACACAUUUCCUAGUGUUUUUAACUGUUAGACAUAAAACCUUAGAUCUCAAAACCAACAGUUUUCAUUCGUUCAAAAAGAAUAAACAAACAACCAAUACAAAACCAUGGACUUUAUUAUCUUCAAUGUUCAAAAACUCUCAAAACUUUUUAAGUUCGAAGCCCUUUUUUUUACUGAGGGAUCAUUUUAAAUUAAAAAAUUAUGCAAAGAAUCUUUGGCUAGUCCAAUCGAAUUGUAGACUGAACGAAUAACUAGAUUAAUGGAAAAAAUUGCAAAGCCAAUAUCCAAACUCAUAAUCUAUAUUUCAUCAAACUGUGAGCAUCAUCGUUCUCAGGUUUGAGAUUGGAAGAUGGUGAUGUUCGUAAACUUGUAGAGGAGAAGAGCUAACCAACGAGUGAGACAUUAUUUACACCAUGCAUCCAUUGACACAUGGACCCGUGAGGUGUACAAUGGUGUGCAAUGCAAGGAAAGAGACAAAGUAUGCAUACUAUUGAGAAAUUUUUCAGUAUGCUGAAAAUACAGCUCAGUACACCAAGUUUCAUAAUAUAAUUAGUUGAUUUUUUUUUUAAAUUUCCAAUCAAUUGUAUUAUUACACUUGAUGUAUCGAAAUGUGUUUCCGAUACACAGAAAAAUUUCUAGCAUACUACUUCCAUAGACCCUGCAACAAAUGGCAAAGCAGCAAAUACUCACCAAGAAAGAGGUCAAACUUGGUAAUUUACCCCAUGAAAGUAUGCCAUUUUCUCAGUUGGCAAAAAUUCUAGGAUAAUACUUUGUACUCACUAGAAUACUGAAUACCCUAUAUAAUCAUUUUUCAAUUUUUUUUUAUAUAAAAAAAGAGGGACAACUGGUGGCAAGUUAUGGUUAACCACCCCUUUUGGGCGUCGGGAAAAUUCACAGAGGCAUUUCAGCCUCCCCUUGGCCAUAAGUAUGGCUUCCACACCAGCAGCGGGUUUCGAACCCGAGACUUGCAGUUUUUAGUUUCAAUUUUGAGUUAAUAAUAUUUUAAUACAUAUUUUAUUAUUUUAAAAAAUAAUAGACAUAUUAUUUAAUUUGUCUUGAGCUUUAAAAACAAAGUAUCUUUUCAUUGGCGUGAACCGAAUGUGAUGUUUAUGGGUAGUUUGGUAACCAAAGUGGUGUUCUUUGAAAAAAAAAUUAAAACUAAAUUGUUUUAGUGAGAUGUCGAUAAAAACUAGGGUGAACCGAACGUACAUGCUUUUCGUUGUGAGAAAAAAAUUGUGUGGAGUUUAGUUGUCAUUAGGGAUGGGCAAUGGUUAUGGCGGGCGGGUAACCGCGGUUAUUUACCCAUAACCGUUCAUGCUCAUACCCGCAUAACCGUUUACCCGUUGGGUAAUUGCCUAAAUGGUUAUACACAUACCCAUAACCAUUUAUAAACGGUUAACCAUACCCAUAACCGCAUACCCAUUUAACCGUAACCGUUUAAUACCCGUUUACCCAUUUACGAUUUUUAACCCGUUUAUCUUUUUUUUUUUUUUUUACCAUUACCCAUUUUUCACCCGUCUACAUGUUUUUUAAGAACUUGAAAAUUUAAAAAAAAAUUGUCAUAAUUUUUUUUUUUUUACAAUUAAACACCGUUAUAGGUACAUUCAUCAUGCAUUUUCGUAUUUUAAUUUUUUAAAUCCUUAUACCAUUCCAAUAAUGGAAAUAAUUGCCGACAAAGACACAACGAGCACUCUUACGUCGGUUAUUUAUAUGCCAACGUAACGAGAGCAAUCCAUUUUCCAAUCUCUCCCCUAGAAAAAUAAAGAUUUUUAGGGAAUAGAACGAACCAAAAACACCGACAACAGGAAAUAUAUAACUUGUACAAUAACUAUGUGUAGAAAAUAACCCAAAGAUGUUGAACAAUAUUGAAGGAAGGGUAAAGAAAAUGUAGGGGGAUCAAUAGCCUUGUAAGAAUGUUCGAUUUCCAGUUUGUUCGAUCCAAGAUCAACAUAUAGCUACAGUAAACACAGAAACAAAUCUAAUGCAUGCAUACUGCAAGGGAAAUGAUUUCAGUGCGCUCCCAUUUUUUUUCUCACUUAAAUUUCUUUUGAUUUAUUCAAUUUAAGGAUAGAAAUACUGCACGGAUUAUCGUUUAUUACUUUUUAAUUAAUUAAAACAUCGCUAUAAAUCACAUUAUAGUCAAUAGCAUUGAUCUAAGUUUUGUCCAAUAGGGAACAUGGUUUGUGCUAAUUUUACAUAUAUAAAAUAAAUGGGUAAACGGUUACCCGUUUAUAACCGCGGUUAAUACCCAUAACCGCCCAUUUAAAUUUCGCAGGUAAACGGUUAUACCCAUAACCGUUUAUUUAUCUAAACGGUUACCCCAUAACCGUAACCGUUUAAUUUAAAUGGGCGGUUAACCGCGGUUACCCAUAACCAAUGGGUAUUUGCCCAUCCCUAAUUAUCAUUAAAUUUUGCCAAGUGACACUAGAACUCAGUUAAAACUCGACAUAUAGUAAGUUUUUAAAGUAUUGUCAACUAUUCUAAAUGUAUGAACAAUGAAUGAGCGAAGAAGAAGCUCUUAGAGAAAAAUAUGAGAGAAUAUGAAGUUUUGUAUAUAUUUUCAGAUGCCAUAAAUGGCAGUUUACAUUUGGUUUUAUAUAGAUGAAUUGAUAAGCUCAAUUACAAUAAUACCCUCCAACAAUUCUAACCAAUCUUACCCUUAUAACUACCUUAAGAUCAAGAGCGACUGAAGCAGAGGCUUGUGAGAGACAAGUUGAAACAGAAAGAAAAGUCGAGACGUUGUAGUUGAAGCAGACCUUUCGAUGAUGAUGGACACGUAACCAUCCCCUCACAAAAUCCUACACAGCCGGAGAUCCUACACAGUGAUAUUCCAGCCUAACAACCCAAAACCCUUUUUGAAGCCUAGUGGCAAUUUUGCAAAUAACGUUAAAUCGGGGGGCAGAGAGACUCAGUGGCAAUUUCGUAAAUAAACUGAAAUGUACCCCAAAAUUGCACAGUGCCACCUCCCCCUACUUUAAACUAAAGUAAUUAUAAUGCUAUGACAGACAAAUUCAUAUUACAUAAUUUUUCAUUUUUUUUCAAAAAUUCAUAUUACAUUUCCUAGUGUUUUUAACUGUUAGACAUAAAACCUUAGAUCUCAAAGUCAACAGUUUUCAUUCGUUCAAAAAGAAUAAACAAACAACCAGUACAAAACCAUGGACUUUAUUAUCUUCAAUGUUCAAAAACUCUCAAAACUUUUUAAGUUCGAAGCCCUCUUUUUACUGAGGGGUCCAAUUAAAUUAAAAAAUUAUGCAAAGAAUCUUUGGCAAGUCCAACCGAAUUGUAGACUGAACGAAUAACUAGAUUAAUGGAAAAAAUCGCAAAGCCAAUAUCCAAACUCAUAAUCUAUAUUUCAUCAAACUGUGAGCAUCAUCGUUCUCGGGUUUGAGAUUGGAAGAUGGUGAUGUUCGUAAACUUGUAGAGGAGAAGAGCUAACCAACGAGUGAGACAUUAUUUACACCAUGCAUCCAUUGACACAUGGACUCGUGAGGUGUACAAUGGUGUGCAGUGCAGGGAAAGAGACAAAGUAUGCAUACUAUUGAGAAAUUUUUCAGUAUGCUGAAAAUACAGCUUAGUACACCAAGUGUCAUAAUAUAAUUAGUUGAUUUUUUUUCUUUAAAUUUCCAAUCAAUUGUAUUAUUACACUUGAUGUAUCGAAAUGUGUUUCCGAUACACAGAAAAAUUUCUAGCAUACUACUUCCAUAGACCCUGCAACAAAUGGCAAAGCAGCAAAUACUCACCAAGAAAGAGGUCAAACUUGGUAAUUUACCCCAUGAAAGUAUGCCAUUUUCUCAGUUGGCAAAAAUUCUAGGAUAAUACUUUGUACUCACUAGAAUACUAAAUACCUUAUAUAAUCAUUUUUCAAUUUUUUUAAUAAAACAAGAGGAACAACUGGUGGCAAGUCAUGGUUAUCCACCCCUUUUGGGCGCCGGGAAGACUCACAGAGGCAUUUCAGCCUCCCCCUGGCCAUAAGUUUGGCUUCCACACCAGCAGCGGGUUUUGAACCCGAGACCUGCAGUUUUUAGUUUCAAUUUUGAGUUAAUAAUAUUUUAAUACAUAUUUUAUUAUUUUAAAAAAUAAUAGACAUAUGAUUUAAUUUGUCUUGAGCUUUAAAAACAAAGUAUCUUUUCAUUGGGGUGAACGGAAUAUGUUUAUGGGUAAUUUGGUAACAAAAGUGGUGUUCUUUUAAAAAAAUUAAAACGAAAUUUUUUUAGUGAGAUGUCAAUAAAAACUAGGGUGAACCGAACGUACAUGCUCUUCGUUGUGAGAAAAAAAUUGUUUGGAGUUCAGCUACCAUUUGAUUUUGCUAAGUGACACUAGAAUUCAGUUAAACUCGACACAUAGUAAGUUUUUAAAAUAUAAUAUCUUAUGACGCAACAUGAAGCAAUGAAAGGGUUACUAGCGUAAUCCCUUGUAGAACAAAGUUACUGUAAUCCACCAGUUUGAUAGAAAUCCCAAAGGAUAAUUUGAUUAAUUGAUUGAAAGAUGAAAAGAUGAUUACAAAGCCAUGGCUUAAAUAAGCCUUUUACAACCUUUUGGAAAUAACUAACAUAUAAUAAAGUCCUUAAAACCCCAAAAGACUCUAUUCAUUAGUAGGCUGCUGUUCUGAUUACUUUAUACAAAAGAUGGCUCAAGCCACUUUUGUGGGAAAAUUAUUUUAACAAGUUUUUGCGAAAAGUGGCUCAAGCCACUUUUAUGGGAAAUUAACACCUCUUUUAUGAUUGCGCCCUUUUGUCUUCCGACGUUCCAUCUCCUCCCCGAUCCAUUCCGCCAUUUGUUCUACAUCAGUCCCUUCCACUUCAGAAGAACUCGACCCCGAGUUAUGAUCAGGAUAAAGAACUUCAUCAUCAUUGAAUGUAUACAAAUCAGCAACGUUGAAAGUAUUGAAAUUCCCAUAGACUCCGGCAAAUCAAUAACAUAGGCAUUGUCAUUAAUUCGCUUGAUAACUUUGAAUGGACCAUACUUUCAUGGCUUUAACUUGCUGUAAGUUCCAACAGGGAAUCAUUCUCUUCUCAAGAACACCAUGAUAGAAUCUCCUUCCUUAAACACUUUACACGCCGAUGUUUGUCCACUGCUUACUUAUACUUAACAUUGGUUUGUUCAAGCCGUUGCUUGACCUCAUCACGAAUUGCCACCACAUCUUCAGCCAUAUUUUAUGCAGCAAUGCUAAGUCCAUGUCCCCUAGGUAGCUUCACCAAAUCCACCACGUGAUGAGGAGUGGCAGUGUAAACAAUGGAAAAUGGUGACUUACCCGUAGCACGAUGCAUGGCACUAUUAUAAGCAAACUUCAUCUGAGGCAGGACAUAGUCCCAUUGUUUUGGCUUUUCUCCACAAAUGUUUCGAACCAUGUUACCAAGAGUCCUAUUUGUGACCUCCGUUUGUCCAUCAGUUUGGGGAUGUGCAAUAGUACUUCGCUUCAAAGUAGUCCCAAACAUUCUCCAUAAUGUAAUCCAGAAAUGACUCAAGAACUUGGUGUCUCGAUCAGAAGUGGUGGACUUAGGUACCCCAUGCAAUCGAACAACCUCCUUGAAAAACAGUUUGGCUAUGUUGGAUGCAUCAGCGGUCUUUUUGCAAGCAAUGAAAUGAGCCAUUUUGGAGAACCUGUCAACCACCACGAAAACUGAAUCCAUUCCCCCUUGCAUUCGGGGUAGUUCGAGCACAAAAUCCAUAGCAAUGUCCUUCCAAAUGUCGUUAGGAACGGGUAAAGGCAUGUAAAGGCCCGUAUUUUGGACUUGCCUUUUUGAAACCUGACAAGUGUAACACUUCCUCACAAUGGCUCCAACAUCUCGUUUCAAUUGUGGCCAAAAGUACCUCUCUUCUAAACUUGCUAUAGUUUUAUCACGACCAAGAUGACCGCUUAGUCCUCCUCCAUGCAAAUCUCGAAUAAGCUUUUCUUGCAAGGAAGAGACAGGAACACAUAAUUGGUUACCUUUGAACAGAAAACCUUCGUUGAUAAAGUAAUCUGACAUAGGUUCAUGAUUAAUGCAUUUCUUCCAUAUUUCCUGAAAAUCAUCAUCGGUUGCAUACAACUCCUUUAAGCACUUGAAACCCACAACUUCUUGGGAAAGAGUGAUUAGCAAUGAUGCUCGUCUACUCAAGGCAUCGACAACCCGAUUUUGAGCUCUAGAUUUGUGCUUGAUAACAAAUGGAAAUUUUUGCAAGAACGUUACUCAUUUGAUAUGCAUUUUAUUAACAUGCUUCUGAUUGUUAAUAAACUUCAAGGCUUGAUGAUCCGUGAAUAGCACAAAUUCUUUCUGAAUGAGAUAAUGUUCCCAUUGUUUUAAAGCUCGAAUCACCACAUAAAACUCAUAAUCAUAAAUGCUCCAUUUUUGACGGGCUUCACUUAGCUUUUCAAAGAAAAAAGUUAUAGGUAUCUUCUCUUGGGAAAGGACAGCACCCACUCCCACUCCACUUGCAUCACAUUCGACUUCGAAUACUUUCUCAAAAUUUGGAAGAGCUAACACCGAAGCUGUACAAAGCUUCUCUUUGAUCAAAACAAAGUUUUGUUCUUGUUCAUCCCCAACGGAACUUGCCUUUCUUCACCCAUCCAAGUGAGUAUGGGGAGACAUGAGGUUUCGUUGGUAGCUGUAAAUGCUCCACCACUUUCUUGGCCACAAAAUUUUCACAACUUCCAUUGUCUACUAUCACUUUGCAAACUUUGCUGUUAAUGGAGCAAAGAGAACGAAAAAUGCAGUGUCGUUGCCCAUCCUCUUUUGGUGCUAAAAGAACUCGCUGCAACACCAAAGCGAGGUGAUCCAUUCCUUCUUCAGUUGUGAAUUCAACGUCUUCAUAGUCAUCAUCACCAACUUCUUCUUCCCUAUAAUCUUCUUCUUGGUUCCCUUCAGCAUCCAACAAGUUGGCUUGUCUCCAUUCAGGACAAACGUUAGAUCGAUGCCCAAUUUUGUUGCAACGAUAACAAAUGUCUCUUAUAGGCUUGGCAUACGGAUUCUCCCUUGGAGGUUGGUUUCUAUUCUGCCCCUUGUUAAAAGUUCUGCUACUCCCUUCAUUUGAUGCUCGAGAAGGAAAACUUGAAGGUUUCAAUCCUCCCGAACUUUGUGGCACAGAUUUUCCUUUGUCGGUGGACGAGACAACAGGGUUUUCAAAAUGCUCCGUCACGUUCCCCCGGAAAGAGGUUUGUCGCCUUUCUUUCUCUAUUAUCUCCGCCUUCAAGGCCAUGUUAAUGGCCUCUUGCAAACUCCACAGAUUUUGCAGCCCAAUCUUUUCUUGAAUGGAGGGUUUCAAUCCAUUCACGAACCUCGCAACCCUUUGAUUUUCUGUCUCCAUCAGAUUGUUUCGCUCCGUAAGUCUCAUGAAAUCAUCCGUAUAAUCAGUCACGUUUCUAUUGCCUUGGACGCAGCUGAUGUAUAUACGGUAUAAAAGAUGUUCAUAAUCCGCAGGUAAGAAACGAUCCAUCAAAAGUUGCUUCAUUUUUCUCCAAGUGCGGAUUCGAUUCUUUCCUUGCCUCUGCCGGGUAUUUUGUAAUUGAUCCCACCAAACAGCGACAGUUGCUUUGAGACGGAAGGCCACCAUCUUCACCAUUUUUGUCUCGGGAAGCUCCAUGACAUCAAAGAAUCUUUCUACUUCAACUAGCCAAUCCAGGAAAUCUUCGAUUUUAAGGUUUCCCGCAAAAAUUGGAAUGUCGGCCUUAAUCUGAAAGUCAUCAAAGUUAUUGUGGUUUUGAUGAUUUGGAUGGUUAGCCGGGUGUGGUUCCACAUCUUCAUCUUCGAACUCCGAUUCGCUGUCUUGAACACGGACCCUAGGAACUCUCAGAUUAUUGACUCCAGCAGUUAUAUGAUUAUUUGGACUAAUGGCUUGGACCAACAUCUCACGAAGUUCUCCAAUUUGAGUAGUCAAGUUUGUAAUCUGUUCAGCUUGAGCAUCCAAGUCUGCUCGAGUGAUAGGGGCAGGUUCACGAUCACGAUCACCCAUGGAUAGAUAGGGUAAACAACGAUGCCAAGACGGGAGAAACCCGCUUUGGUACCAAUUGAAGUAGCACGAAGCAAUGAAAGGGUUACCAGCGUAAUCCCUUGUAGAACAAAGUUACUGUAAUCCACCAGUUUGAUAGAAAUCCCAAAGGAUAAUUUGAUUAAUUGAUUGAAAGAUGAAAAGAUGAUUACAAAGCCAUGGCUUAAAUAAGCCUUUUACAACCUUUUGGAAAAACUCAAAAGACUUAGGAAUUUAAAAUGGAAAUAACUAACAUAUAAUAAAGCCCUUGAAACCCCAAAAGACUCUAUUCAUUAGUAGGCUGCUGUUCUGAUUACUUUCUGCAAAAGAUGGCUCAAGCCACUUUUGUGGGAAAAUUAUUUUAACAAGUUUCUGCAAAAAGCCACUUUUAUGGGAAAUUAACACCUCUUUUAUGAUUGCGCCCUUUUGUCUUCCGACGUUCCAUCUCCUCCUCGAUUAAUUCCGCCAUUUGUUCUACACCAUCUUAUCAUUCUUCUAUUUUAAAUUUUUUAUAAUUAUCUUUUUUACUAAUAAUAUACACCAUGAGAUUAAUCUAACCGUUCAUAUUUUUUUUCUCUCAUUUCUUCUAUUUUUCCUUCUCUCUGCCGUUGCAGUCUUCUUCCUAGUUUCUUUCCUUGCUUCAUUAAGGACACGAGGAAAAGAAAAGCCAAUUUCUCCAACUAUAAUGGAAUGAAAAGAAAGAAAAAAAAUCAAUUUCAGAAACAUAGUUAAAAUCAUCUUGAUCCCCAACUGCAUCUUAAUUGAGAAAAUCCACCCACGAUCUAAAUUUGAGGCUACUGCUCGUCAAGGUAGAAGAAAAGAAAAGGAAAACAAACUUACAUACAAUUUAAUAUAUUUUUGUGAUAUUCAAUUUUGUCCUUAGUCAAAGUAGAUACUGUAAUUCAUUUUUAUUGAUGAAAUAUUAGCAUUGUGGAUGCUUUUUGUUUACAUUCAUAUUCUUAUGAAGAAGGGAAAGAAACAUACAUGCACAACCAUUCAUAUUUGCUGAACACGAGAAAAACUUUGUAGUAGGAUUUAAGUGCUAUAUUUUAUAUUUUGAUUUCAUUUUUUUCUAAUUUUCCUGUGUAAUAUACUACAUGAUUUUCAAGACUAUGCAAAGCUCUAAUUAAAUUUAUAUCUGAUAUGAUUUUCAUGGUGUAUAUGAAUUAGUAGUAGAUGAUCCUAAUUAAUUUAUAGUUAAUUAGUAGAAAAGAUAAUUAUGAAAAAUUAAAAUAGAAGAAUGAUAAAAUAGUAUUAUAUUUAUAAUAGAAUAAUGAUAAAAAAUGGAUGUAGCGCCACUCAGCAAAGUCCAGUAAUAAGCUGAGCUCCACACAAGUUUUUUUGACUUGUUUUACUGACAUUACUAAUAUAUAGAAAAAGUUGUCAAGAAAGAGAAGCAAUGUUAAAAUGAAAUUUUUAUGAAAAAAGGAUUGGACUAAGUUUAUUUUAACCAAAAACAAUAACUUUAUUUAAUGAAAAAACUUAAUUUUAAUGAAAAAAAAUUUAAAUUUUAAUCAAAAUGACAAAAGAACUCAAAUUUUAAUGAAAAAGACAUAAUUUUAAUAUUAAAAAAACUUACGUACCUCCGCGUGUCCUCAGAAAUAAUGUUUAUGAAACUUACUACAUUGUUUAUGAAACUAAACGGUACUACACUGUUUAUGAAACUUAUUAUACUGUUUAUGAAACUUAACGGUAUUACACUAUUUAUGAAAUGUAACAGUACUGCUGUGUAUAUAUGUAUGUUAAUUCUUUUGUCUUAAGUAGGCACAAGUGAAAUCUACAUACAUUACUUUUACUUAUAUUAUUUAUUAUAUACAUGAAUAUACACCUUAUGAGAUUAUAGUACCAAACGUGUUUGUGUUAUCUUGCUCUGUCAAAGGCCUAAAAAUUGUACCAAACGUGUUUGUGUUAUCUUGCUCUGUCAAAGGCCUAAAAAUUGGUGUCAUUGUUGUUACAGUUAGCUAAUUCAUACAUAAUAUAAUAUAUAUGUGUAUUUUCAUGUACUUUUUCUUAUUUAGUUAUAUUUCAAGGGGUGAAGAGAGGGGAUUGGGGGGACGCGAUAGGCACACAUAUUUAUAUUUUAUGUUUUUUUCAUCAUUAAAUAAAAUUAUUAGUUGAUUUUUAAUUAAAAUGCAAAAUUUUGAAACUAUUUUCAUUAAAUUUCAUAUGUUAUAGAAUGCGCAGAGUUUACAAUCUAAUUCCUCGAAACAUAACAACUAACCUAUAAUUUGUAAAACCAGGCACUGAGCAAACCCCGUUUAUUUUUAUUCAAAUUUUCAGUAACUACAAACAAGAAACAAAAUAAAAAAGAAUGAAAACUAUCGCACAAAUGAGUAGUGACCUUAAUCUGCUGCACAUGGUACAAACAACGGAGAUCAUACAUCAUGAAGAUUCAACUUCCUCAACGUUUGCCGUUCGCCUUUGUCUUAAAGGAGGGCUUGAGUAUUCCAUGCCGGUAUCUGAUGACGAGAUAUUGGAUGGCACUGAGGACUCCGGGAAUGAGCUUGUUACUGGAUUUGGCUGAGGUGUUUCAUUUCUAUAACUCUGAGAAGAAAGAGAACUAGCCGCCUUUGUGCUUCCGGUGUUUGAUUCCCCUGAGCUUCUUCUGCGAGUUUUCUUAGAAGAUUCAUGACGGUUGGAAGAAACCUUGAUGAGAUAGACAGUAUUCCGGACAGCUGGUAAAAACAAAUAACGGAAACUAGAAUUAGAAACUGCUUCAAUCAAGAAAAUUAGAAUUUGAUGAGAAACUGUAACCAAAAAGGCCAGCCCCGAGUGAGGUCUCUAUCAAAUUAGGACCACCAGCUGUUGUAUUCCACGUUCAAUCCCAAUUUUACACUCUACUAAGUGAGACAUAAAAAACUCAGUUUUAUACUUACAGCGCCAUGCUGGAACUGUCCUGUAAUGUCCAUCUGUACCCAUAAGGCCUUUGAAAGUAAAAAUCCAACAAAUAGAACCAUGAGGUAGAGAGGGUUCCUGUUUCAUUUGAAGAAAAAAGGCACAGUGAUUAACAGAUGUGCAAGACAUUAGCGUCUGGACACUUAAAAAUGUCCAAAACCUAAAACUCGCAAAAGGAAACAAAAAAGAACGAAAGUAAUUACUUUAAAAGCAUCAUAAAUUCGUUAAAACCAAGAAUGAUCAUCGCCAUUAUAGCCCAUGGAGGAGGUAACCAGUUGUUACUCCGCUUGUGAGCCUCCUGAAAGUACAAAAGCAAACAACAUCAUGAUCGAGCAGAGCUAUAAGCAUAAAGAUAGGGAGCUCGUUACAAAAAUAGUAAUAGGAUGCUAGGAUUUUUCUUUGUAGAAAAAACAAGAAUACACUGAACUUGAUUAUAAGUCGGUCCUAUCUGACUAAACCAUUCCCAAGUCAAGAAUCAGCGCGAUUUUCAAUAUGAAAUGUUUCCAUAUGUUUGGUUUCACUACUAAACUAAAUCCAAUUUACACAAGAACUCCCACCCAAAAUGUCAUCCGAGGACAAUGCAUGCGUCCUAUUUCCACGUUCCUCCCACCAGUUGUUCAUUACUUUUGCAGGAACAUGUUCCAAUAUUCAUAUUUUCAUAACCAAAUCUUUAAAGAACAUUUUAUAAAAGACAAAAUUCAUUUAUUCGAGAUGCAACUCUGAUUAAACGAUAUAAAAACAAUUACACUACUAAAGUUAAACUUAAGUAUACCUGUGCCGAAAUAGCUUGAGUGACGAUAUAUUCGGUCUCUGCUUUGAACUGCUUUGACAAUGACUUGCACUGUACUGGGGUAAUUAAGGUAUCCUUUGAAGAAACAUAGUUUAGAGUUAACCUUAAUAAGAAGGGAGUCUCAUCAUAGAAAAAUUUUACAUAAAAACCAAACCCAUAAAUAAAUGGUACCUCUUGCCAAGAGCUUGAGGCAAGAGGAUCUGUAGGAGGUCCUAGUUUCCUAUUUUGUGAAGAUGAAACAGUAACAGUCCUGUCCACCAGAGAAGAAACUAGGACAUUUUCAAUAUUAUCUGGCUUCUCAUCCAAGCGAAUGGCAGCCAUGGUCAACAAAAGCUUCAGAGACUGCAAGAAAGAGAUGAUCAAACAACUAAAACAUCACUUUAAGUCAGAAAGAUAGAUAACAUGUACUUCCACAAAAGUUCCCAAUGAUUACCGCAGUUCGUGCAUCCUUGGUAAUACUUCUAAUGUCUUCGUUCCCAGUUCAAACCCUAGGCAUUGAAUCGCUGUCAUAAUUGAAGACUACGGCAAACCUGAGAAAUGACAACAGAAGUGAUCAGCAACCAAAAUAACAAGGUGAAAAGGAAAAGAAGAUUUUUAAAAAGUUCCUACCGAUCCUUCAUGUGGAUCAUAAUUUUCCCAGCCUCUUCUCUUGCUUUUUUCUCCACCAAUUUCUUGCAUAAUCCUUCAAAUGCUGCUUCAUUUUGACAACCGUUUCAUUGUCCAACUCAAAAUUGGCAACUGCAGUUGAGAACUCCGAUACUGCAACUUUGGUCUCACGAUUAAGUAGUUUUCGUAUCGAAGCCCAGGUGUCUUUCGCACCAGUUUCCAGUAGAGCCUCUACAGGACCGCUUAAAGACGAAGAAAGUUUUUUUCUGAAAAAUAAUGGGUAUUUGCAUUAAGAAAUUUGAAUAACCAAGACUUUGAUACAUUAUCAGAGCACUACCUCAUAUGUGGAGAUAAAUGACCACAUACCUCAUCGUGGACCAACUGUUUGAAUUUCUGGUUGGCAAUCUCUUCACACCGAACCGUAGCAACCAUAACCUAAUUAAAUUACAGUAUGUGUAUUAUAUAUUAUAUGCAUACGAGAAGUGAAGUCCUUGUUCUCUUUGAUUACUUUCCAAAUCUGUUGUGCACUAAAGGAAAAUCCUGACGCAGGGACAACACCCCUUCUAUCGCCAGCAAGCCCUCGUGGAGAAAUAGAAUGGAAAAAGCCAUCUCUCUUUCUUUCUCUUUUGUGAUGCGUCCAUCUCAGCCUCCCCAAGCAACUCGACGGCGUUGCUGCAGGCCAUGGCGAACAGUUCCACUCGAAAAUCCGUCCAAUUUGAGCGAGAGUCAAAGAACUCGGGGAAGAAUCGGACCUCGUAGUUUUGGAUGUGGCUCGCCAGAUGAGCCAUGGUUUCCAGCGAAAACGGGCACCAAAAAUUUUGGUCUCGGAUCUUCGACCUGGAUCCCCAUCAACAAAAUCGAACAACACAGAUUCAAGGUAAUGUAUAUGUGUGUCUGAGGGUUUGAAAUUGGGGGAAGGGCGGCUGAGCCAUGUGAAAUUCGGUGAGAUGACAUAGAGUCGGGAGCGAUGAUGAGUUUUCGGUUGUUUUGGGGAGAUGUUGCUUUAUUUAGUUAUAGGGAAUUUUAUUGUUGGUGCGUGGUGAAGGAAGGAGGGAGGAACAAACAUGGAAUACUUAUGGAAGUUGUAGAAGUACUUACUACUCUCAACCUUAUUGUUACGAAAGCAUACAUAUCUUCGGAUAGUGGCUGGUUCAUGGAUGGUAAAAAUCCUUUUAUUACGGACUUUUUUAUCGCUGUAAAAAUUGUCCUUUUUUGUUCGAGCUAGAAACUGAUUAUGUGAUUUGGUUUUCAAAUCGGUUUUAACUGCCGCUGAUCAAGAUGGAAACAAGGUUACAGAUGAGGUUUUGAAUUAUAUUCUAAACCUAAUCCAAUACUAACUGUGUUUGCCAUUUUUUUUUCUUGCUUUUGCAGCGAAUGAUGUAAAAAUACUUUAUUCAAAAGGUUACAUUUGUUUGGUCUACUGUGGUUACAUUUUUCAUUUGAUUAAGCUUUGUCAUUGUGUAUAUAUUGGUUGUUCUGUUUCUUAAUAUUGGUGUAGGAAUUUGAUACUUAAAUGCUUCUUCAGGUAUGAAUGGCUCCCAAAACAAAUAAAACACUGUAACUUCAUUAACUGCCGGAAUCAAUCUCAACAUAAAGGAAAGUUUCUGUAAGCAUGCUCUAUUCCUAGGGAGAUUUCAGUUUAAUAGAAUUUUUUGUUUAUGUGGGUUUUGAAUUUUAUCAUAAGAUUUUUUCUUAAUUGGUAUUCAAAAGCGAAUAAAAUAUGUGUUCCUUGGGUCUGACUUUUUAGUUGUUUUGUUAUGAAAUUGUUAAUUGAUUGCAUAUUGUUAAUUUGAUACAUUUUUUUUUUAUGUUAGCUCCAAUUUCAUGCUCUAAGAAAGUUAUGGAUUCAUUUUUUGUAGCAAAUAUUAAAGUAUCAAUAUCCAAAAGAGUUAAAUUAGUUUCAAUUCUUAAAUUAUCAGUACACAGAAGAAAGAUCUAUUAGUUUAAUUUAAAUACGUUUGGAAAGUUAGAAAUAGCUCUAUUAGUUUCAAUUUGUACACUUUUUGAAAUUUAGAGAUCUACUGAGCAUGUUGAAAAUUUGAAGUUGUACUUUUGCGUACUCCAAACUGUGACCUAUAGUUCCCUUAAUAUUUUCAUCCAUUUGAAUUGAUACAAAAUAACAUACUGAAUCCAUGAUCAAUCCCAUUACUAUGUUUAUGUCAAUAUUCUUUCACUUUCUUACACUGAAUUUAACUUUGCUAACACUGGUAAGCUUCCCUUUCAAAAAAAAUUUCUCUUCAGUAAAUACGAUUUAUCAAUGCUUAAUUUGGGUUUGGAGUUGUUUUCUUCUCAUGGUAAAAAUUGGUGUGUCCCAUCCAGAACAAUUAGUGGCCAUUUUUGAGGUUUAUUCCAGUAAAGGGUUUAAGGUUUUUUAUAAUGUCAUAUCGUGUUAGGAUUUUUGAAAGUUGGUUUAUUUUGAAAUUAAAGAUUUUAUGCAUCAUUCAGUUGGUGAAGGACACUUUGAAAUCAAUUUUUUCCGCAGCUGAGACAAUUGAUUAGUUGAUAAGAAAGCGACAUUUUCAUUCUAUUUGUAAGAUUUAGCCAAAAGUAUUUUUUAACAACUAUGAUAUAGUUUGAUUUCAAUUCAGAAGUACUUAUUUUGUUAAAUUUAACCUCGAAUAUGUUAGUAAAUCUUUAUACUUUAUGUGCAAAUACAUAUAUAAUCCUGUAUGUAUAAUUUUUAUAAUGUUGCUAAACAUUUUUACUUUCAUCUUUUUGUCCGUAGAGGGUGAAAACCGCGCCGUUCACAGAUGCAAAACAGGGAACAUCUCCUACUUCAUAUGAGAAGUAGAGAUUAGUUCGAUUGUGAUUGUUUUUCUGAUUUGGUUAAAUUCGAAAUUAGUUGGCUUGCGUCUAAUUUAGUUGUUUGCAUUGGUCACACAUGUAGUCGUUUUCUAACUUAGUUCAUCAAAAUAUGUCAUACAAUUUCCACUCCCGCAAUAACGCGUGAAUCACAUUUCCCGCAGCAAUGCGUGGGCUACACUUUCUAGUUAUUACUUUAGUCUAAAGAAAGCAUUGCAAUUGGCACAAUGAACAGUGUUUGUACUCGGAUUUCAGUUUAAUUACAACCAUGCCAUUGCUUUAAUGAGUGGGCUUUGUGGAAGGUUCGGGUUCGGGUUUAUUUUUUUGGGUUUGGGCAAAUGGGCUGCUAAAUCUCUACAAAGAAAACAUAUAAUGUAAAACAAAUAUUUAAAAAAAAAAUACAAACCCUAAACUUAAUCAUUCAAAAUAAUAGAAAAAGUAAAGUAGAAAACCCAACCCCCGAAUCCCAUUCCCUGCUAGCAACCUUUCCCUUCCCAUUUUGCCCGACACCCCGCCCAGCUUAGUUCUCUCUCUCUCUCU
Molecule: long non-coding RNA, 67638 nt
Filed under: Malus domestica (apple)
Lineage: Eukaryota; Viridiplantae; Streptophyta; Magnoliopsida; Rosales; Rosaceae
Description: long non-coding RNA (MDOM_LNC020034)
Source: RNAcentral